AUAAUACAUCUCGGGCGUGCGAUGCUCCUUGCCCUCUGGUGGGGGGUCCGUCACAAGCUUCUGGGCAUCCAUCUUGCCCCAGUGCACCUUUGCGCGGGCAAGGGCCCAACACGCACCCUCGAUACAGGUGGAGUGCUUGAUAACUUCAACACACGGGCACACGUCCACCAGCCGCCGCACCAGGCCGAAGUAGCUCCCAGGCAUAGCCUCCUUAGGCCACAGCCGAACUAUGAGGCCCUUCAUGGCCUGUUCGGCCGCCUUAUGGAGCUCGACCAGCUGCUUCAGCUGGUCGCUAAGGCGCACCGGAUGUCCGGCCUCAGCAUACUAAGACCAAAAGACCUUCUCCGUUGAGCUCCCCUCCUCGGUCCGGUAGAAUGCGGCAGCAUCGGACACGCUGCGGGGAAGAUCUGUGAACGCUCCUGGAGAGCUCCGAAUUCGGGUAAGCAAUAGGUAAUUAACACUCACAUGCUUACUUUGCAUGAAAAAUGCCUUACCCGCUGCUAUUUUCUUCACCGCCUCUAUCUCCUGGAGGGCCUUGUAGGCUUCGGCCUUAGCGGCUUUGCCACUCUCAAGAGUCGUUGCAAGCUCAGACUCUCGAGUCUUCACGUCACGCUCCAGGCUCUCGUGUUUCUUCACGAGAUCCUGGAGCUCUUGUUGUACCUCCGCCACCCGCGCCUCCUGUUUCUCUCGCUCGGUGCGCUCCGCAGCCGCAUUGCGUUCGGCCGCGGCCACCGCCUCCUUCAGGGUCGCCACCUCGUUAGUGGCCCCUGCAAUACCCCAGUUUUCCUUGUCAUUUUUCUUGCAACCAAAUCCUUUUCUGUAAGGUACAAUUUUCAUAAGGUAUUACUCACCUUCUUUUUUCUCGAGCUGCUUCUUGGCAUGACCGAGCUCGUUCUCGGACCUCUCGAGGUUUUCCUUCAAAGUUUUGACCUCCACAGUUAGUGCGGCAGAGGUCAGCAGCAUAGCCUGCAAUCCCAUAUUGACAUAUUUUCAUGACUCCUGCGUUUAUCUUUCUAAAGAUCCUCAGUCCGGCUUUUCUUUCCGAACACCGAACAGAGCAUCAGGGGCUACUGUCUAUGCGGUACCAUUUUACAUAUAUUGAAAUUCUUACCUCAAAGCCUGUUAGAAGGCUGCUGCAGGCUUCGGUCAGCCCGCUCUUGGCGAGCUGAACCUUCUGAAUCACCGCACUCAUAACAGUGCGGUGUUCCUCUUCGAUGGAGGCGCCGUUGAGCACCUCCAGCAAAUUAUCCGGCACCUCCGGUUGGACGGAGGCAGCCAGCGUCGCGGUCUUGCCCUUCUUACGAAGGGGUCGCCCGCCGGACUCCGGAGCCACUAUGGGUUCCAGGGCUGAGUCCGGUGCAAAGACCGGGAGGUUGUCCCGCGACACCUCCGGGGCCCUCUCCUCCUGGUGGGUCCCUUCCUGGGAUCCCACCUCGGCAUCGUCCGCAUCACGGGGGGUGGAGGCAGUCGGAAGAGAAUCCAUAUCUGACGCCCCUAAGGACCCGCUCGACGAAGUGGGGAGAUCAUCCUUAGGCGGACUGCAGGGUUGUAUGCGGCAUUAGAAAGACAUAAUGUGGCGGAAAACAAAAACCUUUAAGUUAUUCGGGAGUCCAGAUACUUACGAUCUCGCCAGAAGCUUGGCCCUUGGAGGCCAGUCCUUGUCGUCGUCACUGGCGUUGGCGGAACAGUCCGGGGGAAGAGUUUUUACCCUCUUGGACCCUUCAUCCUCCCUUGUUGGGGAGGCCUUCCUUUUCUUCCCUCCCCCCACUGGGGGAGAGGCUUUCUUCUUCUCCUCCUCGCCUUGGUGGGAGGAGUCGGCCUUGGAUUCAUCGUCCGAUAGCACCUGAAAACGGGAACUCUUCCGAGUCCCCGUGGCCUUCUUCUUGGCCUUCUUCUCCGGCACCAUGUGGGGUGCCGAAGCCAGCAGCCCCGUUAGGCGGGCAUCAGCUGGGUCCUCUGGAAAUGGGGCCGGACAGAUAGCCUAUGCGGCCUUCUUCAGCCAAUCCUGUCAAAGGAAAGGGAGUUUAGAUCCCGCAUAGAGUCAAACUAUGAAUAACAAGCGUCCCGUAAAGGACAAUAUCACUUACCUCGUCAGCUGGAUGCUGCGAGCUGAAUCCGCGAUCUUCGGUAGCGGAUGCGAGAGCCUCGGCGCCCUUGAACAGCACCUUCCAAACCUCUUCGUACGUAGUGUCGAAGAGCCCAUUCAAAGUCUGGUGCUGCGCCGGAUUGAACUCCCACAUAUUGAAGCCCCGUCGUUGGCACGGGAGAAUCUGGCGGAUGAGCAUGACCUGGACUACGUUGACAAGCUUGAGCUUCUUGUCCACCAGCUUUUGGACGCAGGCUUGGAGUCCGGUCAGCUCCUCCGAAUCGCCCCAAAUCCGGCUGCUCUCUUUCCAGGAGGUGAGCCGUGUGGGGUUGCCGGACCUGAAUUCGGGGGCCGCUGCCCAUUCGGGAUCACGCGGCUCGGUGAUGUAGAACCACCCCGAUUGCCACCCCUUGAUGGUUUCCACAAAGGUGCCCUCCAGCCACGUAACAUGGGACAUCCUGCCCACCAUGGCGCCUCCGCACUCCGCUUGGCUGCCCUUCACAACCUUCGGCUUGACACUGAAGGUCUUGAGCCACAAGCCGAAGUGGGGCUGGAUGCAGAGGAAGGCCUCGCACACGACGAUAAACGCCGAGAUCUUGAGAAUAAAAUUUGGGGCCAGAUCAUGGAAAUCUAGGCCGUAGUAGAACAUGAGCCCCCGGACAAAGGGAUGAAGUGGGAAGCCCAGUCCGCGGAGGAAAUGGGGAAGGAAUACUACCCUCUCAUGGGGCCUGGGGGUGGGGAUGAGCUCUCCCUCGUCGGGGAGCCGAUGCGCGAUGUCGCUGGACAAGUAUCCGGUGUUGCGCAGCUUCUGGAUAUGCCCCUCCGUGAUGGAGGAGGCCAUCCACUUGCCUCCCGCUCCGGACAUAUUUGGAGAAGGUUGAGGUAAGAUGUGCGGGCUUGGGCGCUAGAGCUCGAGUUUGCAGAGAUGGAUAAGCCAAGGAGGAAGAAGGCGCAGGUAAAAAGGUUGGAUCUUUAUCCCCUUAUAUGGGCGGACAGAAACACGCGUCCCCACCAGCCUGGUAAAACUCGCUUAUCCCCCAAGCGUCACGAUUGAUGGCGCGGUUGGGUUACCCACAUCCGUAUUGAUGGGAAUCCCGGAAUAAGGGGAACACGAUCUUUGCUUCGACAAGACGUGACAAGGAAACCGCCUCGCUAAACGUGCUGAAGUGGUACAAUAAAAACCUUUCAAAUAAAGGCUUGGUUAUGGUGUGACGUCACGCCAUGGAAUACGUCAGCAGACUGAACUUGUGUGAAUAUUAUUCUCUCUACGGUGGUAUGUGGAAAUUAUUUUGCAGAGCCGGACACUAUCCUGGUGUUCACAAUCUUCUAUAAAUUAUUCGGAGGAGGAACCUGCCUUGCAAUGCCGAAGACAAUAUGCGCGCCGGACUCGUCGUCAUUGAAGCCUGGUUUAAGGGCUACUGAGGGAGUUCCGGACUAGGGGGUGUCCGGAUAGCCGAACUAUCAUCAUCGGCCGGACUCCAAGACUAUGAAGAUACAAGAUUGAAGACUUCGUCCCGUGUCCGGAUGGGACUUUCCUUGGCGUGGAAGGCAAGCUUGGCGAUACGGAUAUGUAGAUCUCCUACCUUUGUAACCGACUCUGUGUAACCCUAGCCCUCUCCGGUGUCUAUAUAAACCAGAUGGCCUUAGUCCAUAGGACGAACAACAAUCAUACCAUAGGCUAGCUUCUAGGGUUUAGCCUCCUUGAUCUCAUGGUAGAUCUACUCUUGUAACCCACAUCAUCAAUAUUAAUCAAGCAGGACGUAGGGUUUUACCUCCAUCAAGAGGGCCCGAACCUGGGUAAAAACAUCGUGUCCCUCGUCUCCUGUUACCAUCCGCCUAGACGCACAGUUCGGGACCCCCUACCCGAGAUCCGCCGGUUUUGACACCGACACCCUCCUACAGGCGGAACCGGAAGUCCUGGACUUGAACUGGGCGGCGGAGGCUCGACUCGACGCGGAGCGCGCGGAUGCCGCUGCCAUCGAGGCCCUCCUGCAGGCGGAACCGGACAUCCUCGACUUGAACCGGGCUGUGCUCUCGUCCGUGCAGAGCGCCCGCAUGCUCCGCUUGAACGAGUAGCUGGAGGCCGAGGACAACCACGGUGCGGAGACACACGUCGGCUGGUUCGCUCCGGCAGCCAAAGACGACGAGGCGUCUCUUUCCACGAGCAGUGAUAGUUUUUCUUUAUGUUGUUGUUUUUAUUAUUAUGGAUCUUUUGCUAUGUAAAAACAUACUAUUUGUUAUGCAAGUCGCCUGAGUCUACCAUUUCAGGCGGUUGGAUGAAUAUCCUAUGUCUCCUAACCCUUCUUUCCUUCUUCCUCACCUCUUCUUCUUCCCCAACAGACCACCGCACGGGCCGUACGGAUACUCCGGUUGGAUAAACAUACUUUAUGAAUGAAAAUUAUGUGUCAGCGAUAGGAUGGCUGAGUUUGGCUUGUUCACAUGCGACAACACGUGUCAGUGAGGGUGCGUUCCCUUGGUUGGGUUUGCGGCGUGCAGGAGUGAAGUGUGAGGGUGCGGUGCGACCGCGGCGUGCAGGAGCGACCGUGUGAGGGUGCGGUGCGACCGCGACAGCCGUGCGCAAGUGUACCUCCUUCUCAUUUUGAAAACUUUAGGCAAGCUUGGCAAAAAUGUGUGGCGAAGUUUGGCAAUGCAAGGCCUAGACCCAAAUAGGAUAAGUAUGUACUACCUCUGUCCGGGUUUAUUGGUCCCCAUUGUAUUUCGUGCCAAAUUUUGACCAUAGAUUAAACUAAGAAAAUGUUCACGCAUGUCACCAAACAUUAUAUUUCUCAAAACAAUGUUCAAAUACGAAUCUGAUGAGAUAAUUUUUCUUGACAUGCAUUAACAUUUUGUUAGUUAAAUCUUUAGUCAAAAUUUGGCACAAACUAUAAAAGGGACCUAUAAACCAGGACGGAGGUAGUACGUACUAGGAGUACUAGUGUUAAAAAAGAAAGGCGGGGUUUUCCUUUGAUAGAAAUCCUCGUUUCACGUGUCAAUUAAUGCGUAUUUUUUCUCGAAAACCCAAAGAGCUAACCAUCUCACUCCUCAUCGCUUGAUUAAUGCAGCGUCAUGCAAACGAACCUUCUCACUUCCGCAUGCAUGCAGGGGAUAUUAAUGUCCUUGGUUGCUAACCCCAUCAAUUUGCCUCGAUUAGUGUUAGUGGCCCUUUGCAGAUUGUAAUUUUGAUAUACUGGCCUUGUGUACAAAAAAAUGGAGGUAGUAACUAUAUUUGAAUUCCUUGCCCAUUACGGUGACGUCGAUGACUUUUGUUUUUGUGGUUUGGUGAAGUGCGUUCGACGGAGAACACCAUUGAGGGAGACCAUGGUAAGUCGUUCGCAAGUGCCGCCUGCAAGCCGAGACAACCACCUUAUUUGCAUCCAGGAAGUCCUUUAAUAGUACUAUUACUAGGAGUACUAGUGCGGUGAGAUGGUUUCUCGGAGAAGACGAUGGAGAAGCGGAGUCAGCGAAUAGUGAAAUGAUAGUUGCUUCGUCCGUGCUUUGUGAUUUGACGCCUCACUACUUUGUGAUUUGUGAUAGAAGGGGCAGGGGAGUAGACUCUAUGAUCUAUACUGUACUACUCCUACAUGCGUCCAAGCAUGGGAGAAAGAGGAGAGACAUUGCAUUUUUCUAUUCCUUCAAUCAAUCAAUCAGGGAGCUUUGGUUCCAUCUUUUUGGUUUUGGCAAUGCCAUCCACAAUGGUUCCCACGAUGCCAAAAGCUAUUUUCACAUUUGGCUACACAUUGUGGAUGCCCUUAACCAUACCACUUGGUUUUGCUCUUGUGUGCUAUCUAUACAAAUCUCAAUUAUAUUGAUCUAAAAAAUUAUAGAAUGAAAGAUUAGUAAAAAGGAGGUGAUUUUGCCGUGCGGAUGGCAGGGGAGGUUUCAUAUUUUCGGAGGAUGUUGUCCUGGCGGUUUGCUAACAUGCGGUCCCACGUGUCAGUGCUUUACCAAGCUGAUCCGCAUCCUACAUGAGGCAGAACAACGGCAGAAGCAACACGUGGUUAAGUUGAAGAAGAUGAGGGAGAAGCGGAUUCAGCAACGAGUGAAAUGAUGGUUGCUUCGUCCCUCCAACUUCUUUUUUUAGCAUUAUUACUUCAUCCCUCCAACUUAACUGCGGGAAAGGUGCAGCUUUGUGAUUUGACGCCUCAUUGCUCAUUACUACGCCGGCGCCAUGACUGGGGUGCUUCACCCCGGCUGCUCUGCACUGUAUUCCGGUAUGGCACGUGGACCCGGUAGCUUGAUGUCCCACAUGUCGGCGAAAGGGACUAGAAGAUUUAUGAAAGCGAGCACUCCACUCUUACGACGGAGGAGUAGACGACACGACGGCCCAGUGAACUAUCACUUUUACUGUGUAGUACUAUAGUUUUGCUAUUUCUCACGAUCCAUCGAUACAAACCCGAUUAAACAGGAAAGGGCGGGAUUUUUCCCGCGCGGUAGAUGAUACUGGCCAUACAUUUCAAAGGCAAUUUUAAUGUAUGCAAAUUGAAUAAUUAUAAGUAACAAUAUGAUAUCUAGUAAAACUAAAAACACAUAUGAUUUAUUGUGUUAGAGUGUAGUAGUAGUGCGGUAUUGCAUAGUUGUUAGAUGUAACAUGCGAGAACGUGUAGAGAUGUAGUUUUGGAGGGCCUACAGAAAGAAAAGUGUAGUACGGUCACCGAACUUCAGAAUAAGCUGAUUACGGUCACUAUAUACGUUUUGCAGUGAUUAUCCGGUCACUUGCUCACAGUUCAGCAUCUGCUUGCACUCUGUUGACCGGCCAAAUAGUCUGCGUGGCGCCAUGUGUAGGGGAACGUUGCAGAAAAUAAAUUUUUUUGCUACGGUUUCACCAAGAUCCAUCUUGAGUUCAUCUAAGCAACGAGUGAAAGGAGAGAGAUGCAUCUACAUACCACUUUGUAGAUCGCGUGCGGAAGCGUUCAAGAGAACGGGGUUGAGGUAGUCGUUCUCGUCGUGAUCCUAUCAUUGGAGAUCCUAGCGCCGAACGGACGGCACCUCCGCGUUCAACAAUCGUACGGUCAGCGUGACGUCUCCUCCGUCUUGAUCCAGCAAGGGGGAAGGAGAGGUUGAUGAAGAUCCAGCAGCACAAUGGCGUGGUGGUGGAUGCAGCAGGACUCUGGCAGGGCUUUGCCAAGCUACUGCGGGAGGAGGAAGAGGUGUAGCAGGGGGAGGGAGGCGCCAAGACACAGGGUGCGGCUGCCCUCCCUCCCCCCUCCUUUAUAUAGGCCCCCAGGGGGGGCGCCGGCCCUGGGAGAUCUAAUCUCCCAAGGGGGGCGGUGGUCAGGGGGGUGGAGUGCCCCCCAAGGCAAGUGGGGUGCGCCCCCCACCUAGGGUUUCCAACCCUAGGCGCAGGGGGGCCCAGGGGGGCGUAGCAGCCCACUAGGGGCUGGUUCCCCUCCCACUUCAGCCCACGGGGCCCUCCGGGAUAGGUGGCCCCACCCGGUGGACCCCCGCGACCCUUCCGGUGGUCCCGGUACAAUACCGGGUGACCCCGAAACUUUCCCGAUGGCCGAAACAGCACUUCCUAUAUAUAAUUCUUUACCUCCGGACCAUUCUGGAACUCGUCUUGACGUCCGGGAUCUCAUCUGGGACUCCGAACAACAUUCAGUUUGCUGCAUACUCAUAUUCAUACAACCCUAGCGUCACCGAACCUUAAGUGUGUAGACCCUACGGGUUCGGGAGGCAUGCAGACAUGACCGAGACGGCUCUCCGGUCAAUAACCAACAGCAGGAUCUAGAUACCCAUGUUGGCUCCCACAUACUCCUCGAUGAUCUCAUCGGAUGAACCAUGAUGUCGAGGAUUCAAGCAACCCCGUAUACUAUUCCCUUUGUCAGACGGUAUGUUACUUGCCCGAGAUUCGAUCGUCGGUAUCCCAAUACCUCGUUCAAUCUCGUUACCGGCAAGUCACUUUACUCGUACCGUAAUGCAUGAUCCCGUGACCAGACACUUGGUCACUUUGAGCUCAUUAUGAUGAUGCACUACCGAGUGGGCCCAGUGAUACCUCUCCAUUAUACGGAGUGACAAAUCCCAGUCUCGAUCCGUGUCAACCCAACAGACACUUUCGGAGAUACCUGUAGUGCACCUUUAUAAUCACCCAGUUACGUUGUGACGUUUGGUACACCCAAAGCACUCCUACAGUAUCCGGGAGUUACACGAUCUCAUGUUCGAAGGAAGAGAUACUUGACAUUGGAAAAGCUCUAGCAAAACGAACUACACGAUCUUGUGCUAUGCUUAGGAUUGGGUCUUGUCCAUCACAUCAUUCUGCCAAUGAUGUGAUCCCGUUAUCAACGACAUCUAAUGUCCAUAGUCAGGAAACCAUGACUAUUUGUUGAUCAACGAGCUAGUCAACUAGAGGCUCACUAGGGACAUGUUGUGGUCUAAGUAUUCACACGUGUAUUACGAUUUCCGGAUAAUACAAUUAUAGCAUGAAUAAAAGACAACUAUCAUGAACAAAGAAAUAUAAUAAUAAUCCUUUUAUUAUUGCCUCUAGGGCAUAUUUCCAACAGUCUCCCACUUGCACUAGAGUCAAUAAUCUAGUUACAUUGUGAUGAAUCAAACACCCAUAGAGUUCUGGUGUUGAUCAUGUUUUGCUCGCGGAAGAGGUUUAGUCAACGGAUCUGCGACAUUCAGAUCCGUACGUACUUUGCAAAUAUCUAUGUCUCCAUCUUGAACAUUUUCACGGAUGGAGUUGAAACGAUGCUUGAUGUGCCUGGUCUUCUUGUGAAACCUGGGCUCCUUGGCAAGGGCAAUAGCUCCAGUGUUGUCACAGAAGAGUUUGAUCGGCCCUGACGCAUUGGGUAUGACUCCUAGGUCGGUGAUGAACUCCUUCACCCAAAUUGCUUCAUGCGCUGCCUCCGAGGCUGCCAUGUACUCCGCUUCACAUGUAGAUCCCGCCACGACGCUCUGCUUGCAGCUGCAUCAGCUUACUGCCCCACCAUUCAACAUAUACACAUAUCCGGUUUGUGACUUAGAGUCUUCCAGAUCUGUGUCAAAGCUAGCCUCGACGUAACCCUUUACGACGAGCUCUUCGUCACCUCCAUAAACGAGAAACAUGUCCUUUGUCCUUUUCAGGUACUUCAGGAUAUUCUUGACUGCUGUCCAGUGUUCCUUGCCGAGAUUACUUUGGUACCUUCCUAUCAAACUUACGGCAAGGUUUACAUCAGGUCUGGUACACAGCAUGGCACACAUAAUAGAUCCUAUGGUUGAGGCAUAGGGGAUGACACUCAUCUCUUAUUUAUCUUUUGCCGUGGUCGGGCAUUGAGCCGAGCUCAAUCUCACACCUUGCAAUACAGGCAAGAACCCUUUCUUGGACUGAUCCAUUUUGAACUUCUUCAAAAUCUUAUCAAGGUAUGUGCUUUGUGAAAGACCUAUGAGGCGUCUCGAUCUAUCCCUAUAGAUUUUGAUGCCUAAUAUGUAAGCAGCUUCUCCAAGGUCCUUCAUUGAAAAACACUUAUUCAAGUAGGCCUUAAUGUUUUCCAAGAAUUCUAUAUCACUUCCCAUCAAAAGUAUGUCAUCUACAUAUAAUAUGAGAAAUGCUACAGACCUCCCACUCACUUUCUUGUAAACGCAGGCUUCUCCAUAAGUCUGCAUAAACCCAAACGCUUUGAUCAUCUCAUCAAAGCGAAUGUUCCAACUCCAAGAUGCUUGCACCAGCCCAUAAAUGAAUCCCUGGAGCUUGCAUACUUUGUUACCAUUCUUCGGAUCGACAAAACCUUUCGGCUGCAUCAUAUACAGCUCUUCCUUAAGAUAACCGUUAAGGAAUGCCAUUUUGAUGUCCAUCUGCCAUAUCUCAUAAUCAUAGUAUGCGGCAAUUGCUAACAUGAUUCAGACGGACUUAAGCUUCGCUACGGGAGAGAAAGUCUCAUUGUAGUCAACCCCUUGAACUUGUCGAUAACCCUUAGCAACAAGUCGAGCUUUAUAGAUGGUGACAUUUCCAUCCGCGUCCGUCUUCUUCUUAAAGAUCCAUUUGUUUUCUAUCGCUCGCCGAUCAUCGGGCAAGUCAGUCAAAGUCCAUACUUUGUUUUCAUACAUGGAUUCUAUCUCGGAUUGCAUGGCUUCUAGCCAUUUGUUGGAAUCUGGGCCCGUCAUCGCUUCUUCAUAGUUCGAAAGUUCACCGUUGUCUAACAACAUGAUUUCCAGGACAGGGUUGCCAUACCACUCUGGUGUGGAACGUGUCCUUGUGGACCUACGAAGUUCAGUAGCAACUUGAUCCGAAGUACCUUGAUCAUCAUCAUUAAUUUCCUCUCCAGUCGGUGUAGGCACCACAGGAACAUUUUCCUGAGCUGCACUACUUUCCGGUUCAAGAGGUAGUACUUCAUCGAGUUCUACUUUCCUCCCACUUACUCCUUUCGAGAGAAACUCCUUUUCCAGAAAGGAUCCGUUCUUGGCAACAAAGAUCUUGCCUUCGGAUCUAAGGUAGAAGGUAUACCCAAUGGUUUCCUUAGGGUAUCCUACGAAGACGCAUUUUUCCGACUUGGGUUCGAGCUUUUCAGGUUGAAGUUUCUUGACAUAAGCAUCGCAUCCCCAAACUUUUAGAAACGACAGCUUAGGUUUCUUCCCAAACCAUAAUUCAUACGGUGUCGUCUCAACGGACUUAGACGGUGCCCUAUUUAAAGUGAAUGUAGCUGUCUCUAGAGCGUAUCCCCAAAAUGAUAGCGGUAAAUCGGUAAGAGACAUCAUAGAUCGCACCAUAUCCAAUAGAGUGCGAUUACAACGUUCAGACACACCGUUAUGUUGAGGUGUUCUAGGCGGCGUGAGUUGUGAAACGAUUCCACAUUUUCUUAAGUGUGUACCAAAUUCGUGACUUAAAUAUUCUCCUCCACAAUCUGAUCGUAAGAAUUUUAUCUUUCGUUCAUGUUGAUUCUCUACCUCAUUCUGAAAUUCCUUGAACUUUUCAAAGGUCUCAGACUUGUGUUUCAUCAAGUAGACAUACCCAUAUCUACUCAAGUCAUCUGUGAGAGUAAGAACAUAACGAUAUCCUCCACGAGCAUCAACGCUCAUUGGACCACACACAUCAGUAUGUAUGAUUUCCAAUAAGUUGGUUGCUCGCUCCAUUGUUCCGGAGAACAGGGUCUUGGUCAUUUUGCCCAUGAGGCAUGGUUCACAUGUGUUAAAUGAUUCAUAAUCGAGAGACUCUAAAAGUCCAUCAACAUGGAGCUUCUUCAUGCGCUUGACACCAAUGUGACCAAGGCGGUAGUGCCACAAGUAUGUGGGACUAUCGUUAUCAACUUUACAUCUUUUGGUAUUCACACUAUGAAUAUGUGUAACAUUACGUUCGAGAUUCAUUAAGAACAAACCAUUGACCAUCGGGGCAUGACCAUAAAACAUAUCUCUCAUAUAAAUAGGACAGCCAUUAUUCUCAGAUUUAAAUGAGUAGCCAUCUCGCAUCAAACGAGAUCCAGAUACAAUGUUCAUGCUCAAACUUGGCACUAAAUAACAAUUAUUGAGGUUUAAAACUAAUCCCGUAGGUAAUUGUAGAGGUAGCGUGCCGACCGCGAUCACAUCGACCUUGGAACCAUUCCCGACGCGCAUCGUCACCUCGUCCUUCACCAGUCUCCGCUUAUUCCGCAGCUCCCGCUGUGAGUUACAAAUAUGAGUAACGACACCAGUAUCAAAUACCCAGGAGUUACUACGAGUACUGGUAAGGUACACAUCAAUUACAUGUAUAUCAAAUAUACCUUUAGUGUUGCCGGCCUUCUUGUCCGCUAAGUAUUUGGGGCAGUUCCGCUUCCAGUGACCCUUCCCUUUGCAAUAAAAGCACUCAGUCUCAGGCUUGGGUCCAUUCUUUGACUUCUUCCCGGCAACUGGCUUACCGGGCGCGGCAACAUCUUUGCCGUCCUUCUUGAAGUUCUUCUUACCCUUGCCCUUCUUGAACUUAGUGGUCUUAUUUACCAUCAACACUUGAUGUUCUUUCUUGAUUUCAACCUCUGCUGACUUCAGCAUUGAAAAUACUUCAGGAAUGGUCUUCACCAUCCCCUGCAUAUUGUAGUUCAACACAAAGCUCUUGUAGCUCGGUGGGAGCGACUGAAGGAUUCUGUCAAUGACCGCCUUAUCUGGGAGGUUGAUCUCCAGCUGUGACAAGCGGUUAUGCAACCCAGACAUUUUGAGUAUGUGCUCACUGACAUAACUGUUUUCCUCCAUCUUACAACUAUAGAACUUGUCAGAGACUUCAUAUCUCUCGACCCGGGCAUGAGCUUGAAAACCAUUUUCAGCUCCUCGAACAUCUCAUAUGCUCCGUGUUGCUCAAAACGCUUUUGGAGCCCCGGUUCUAAGCUGUAAAGCAUGCCGCACUGAACGAGGGAGUAAUCAUCAGCACGUGACUGCCAAGCGUUCAUAACGUCUUGGUUCUCUGGGAUGGGUGCUUCACCUAGCGGUGCUUCUAGGACAUAAUCUUUCUUGGCUGCUAUGAGGAUGAUCCUCAGGUUCCGGACCCAGUCCGAAUAGUUGCUGCCAUCAUCUUUCAGCUUGGUUUUCUCUAGGAACGCGUUGAAGUUCAUGUUGACAUGAGCGUUGGCCAUUUGAUCUACAAGACAUAUUUUGCAAAGACUUUAGACUAAGUUCAUGAUAAUUAAGUUCAUCUAAUCAAAUUAUUUAAUGAACUCCCACUCAGAUUGACAUCCCUCUAGUCAUCUAAGUGUUACACGAUCCGAGUCGACUAGGCCGUGUCCGAUCAUCACGUGAGACGAACUAGUCAUCAUCGGUGAACAUCUCCAUGUUGAUCGUAUCUUCCAUACGACUCAUGUUCGACCUUUCGGUCUCUGUGUUCCGAGGCCAUGUCUGUACAUGCUAGGCUCGUCAAGUUAACCCUAAGUGUUUUGCAUGUGUAAAACUUUCUUACACCCGUUGUAUGUGAACGUAAGGAUCUAUCACACCCGAUCAUCACGGGGUGCUUCGAAACGACGAACUUUAGCAACGGUGCAUAGUUAGGGGGAACACUUUCUUGAAAUUAUUAUAAGGGAUCAUCUUAUUUACUACCGUCGUUCUAAGUAAACAAGAUGCAUAAACAUAAUAAACAUCACAUGCAAUUAUAUAAUAGUGACAUGAUAUGGCCAAUAUCAUAUAGCUCCUUUGAUCUCCAUCUUCGGGGCUCCAUGAUCAUCUUCGUCACCGGCAUGACACCAUGAUCUCCAUCAUCGUGUCUUCAUGAAGUUGUCAUGCCAACGACUACUUCUACUUCUAUGGCUAACGCGUUUAGUAAUAAAGUAAAGUAAUUUACAUGGCGUUCUUCAAUGACACGCAGGUCAUACAAAAAUAAAGACAACUCCUAUGGCUCCUGCCGGUUGUCAUACUCAUCGACAUGCAAGUCGUGAUUCCUAUUACAAGAACAUGAUCUCAUACAUCACAAUAUAUCAUUCAUCAUUCAUCACAACUUCUGGCCAUAUCACAUCACAUGACAAUUGCUGCAAAAACAAGUUAGACGUCCUCUAAUUGUUGUUGCAUUUUUUACGUGGCUGCAAUUGGGUUCUAGCAAGAACGUUUUCUUACCUACGAAUAACCACAACGUGACUUUGUCAACUUCUAUUUACCCUUCAUAAGGACCCUUUUCGUCGAAUCCGCUCCAACUAAAGUGGGAGAGAUAGACACCCGCUAGCCACCUUAUGUAACUAGUGCAUGUCAGUCGGUGGAACCUGUCUCACGUAAGCGUACGUGUAAGGUCGGUCCAGGCCGCUUCAUCCCACAAUACCGCUGAAGCAAAAUAAUACUAGUAGCGGCAAGCAAGUUGACAAGAUCUACGCCCACAACAAAAUUGUGUUCUACUCGUGCUAUAGAGAACUACGCAUAGACCUAGCUCAUGAUGCCACUGUAGGGGAACGUUGCAGAAAAUAAAAAAAUUUCCUACGGUUUCACCAAGAUCCAUCUAUGAGUUCAUCUAAGCAACGAGUGAAAGGAGAGAGAUGCAUCUACAUACCACUUUGUAGAUCGCGUGCGGAAGCGUUCAAGAGAACGGGGUUGAGGUAGUCGUUCUCGUCGUGAUCCUAUCACCGGAGAUCCUAGCACCGAACGGACAGCACCUCCGCGUUCAACACACGUAUGGUCAGCGUGACAUCUCCUCCGUCUUGAUCCAGCAAGGGGGAAGGAGAGGUUGAUGAAGAUCCAGCAGCACAACGGCGUGGUGGUGGAUGCAGCAGGACUCCGGCAGGGCUUCGCCAAGCUACUGCAGGAGGAGGAAGAGGUGUAGCAGGGGGAGGGAGGCGCCAAGACACAGGGUGCGGCUGCCCUCCCUCCCCCCUCCUUUCUAUAGGCCCCCAGGGGGGCACCGGGCCUGGGAGAUCUAAUCUCCCAAGGGGGCGGCGGCCAGGGGGGUGGAGUGCCCCCCAAGGCAAGUGGGGCGCGCCCCCCACCUACGGUUUCCAACCCUAGGCGCAGGGGGUGCCCAGGGGGGGUGCACCAGCCCACUAGGGGCUGGUUACCCUCCCACUUCAGCCCACAGGGCCCUCCGAGAUAGGUGGCCCCACCCGGUGGACCCCCGGGACCCUUUCGGUGGUCCCGGUACAAUACCGGGUGACCCCAAAACUUUCCCGAUGGCCGAAACAGCACUUCCUAUAUAUAAUUCUUUACCUCUGAACCAUUCCGGAACUCCUCGUGACGUCCGGGAUCUCAUCCGGGACUCCGAACAACAUUCGGUUUGCUGCAUACUCAUAUUCAUACAACCCUAGCAUCACCGAACUUUAAGUGUGUAGACCCUACGGGUUCGGGAGACAUGCAGACAUGACCGAGACGGCUCUCCGGUCAAUAACCAACAGCGGGAUCUGGAUACCCAUGUUGGCUCCCACAUACUCCUCGAUGAUCUCAUCGGAUGAACCACGAUGUCGAGGAUUCAAGCAACCCCGUAUAAUAUUCCCUUUGUCAGACGGUAUGUUACUUGCCUGAGAUUCGAUCGUCGGUAUCCCAAUACCUCAGUCAAUCUCGUUAUCGGCAAGUCACUUUACUCGUACCGUAAUGCAUGAUCCCGUGACCAGACACUUGGUCACUUUGAGCUCAUUAUGAUGAUGCACUACCGAGUGGGCCCAGUGAUACCUCUCCGUUAUACGGAGUGACAAAUCCCAGUCUCGAUCCGUGUCAACCCAACAGACACUUUCGGAGAUACCUGUAGUGCACCUUUAUAGUCACCCAGUUACGUUGUGACGUUUCGUACACCCAAAGCACUCCUACGGUAUUCAGGAGUUACACGAUCUCAUGGUCUAAGGAAGAGAUACUUGACAUAGGAAAAGCUCUAGCAAAACGAACUACACGAUCUUGUGCUAUGCUUAGGAUUGGGUCUUGUCCAUCACAUCAUUCUCCCAAUGAUGUGAUCCCGUUAUCAACGACAUCUAAUGUCCAUAGUCAGGAAACCAUGACUAUCUGUUGAUCAACGAGCUAGUCAACUAGAGGCUCACUAGGGACAUGUUGUGGUCUAAGUAUUCACACGUGUAUUACGAUUUCUGGAUAAUACAAUUAUAGCAUGAAUAAAAGACAACUAUCAUGAACAAAGAAAUAUAAUAAUAGUCCUUUUAUUAUUGCCUCUAGGGCAUAUUGCCAACACCAUGUUGACUAGUUAAAUUGACCACGUUCCUUGUGGGUCCCACCUGUCAGUUCGCAUAGGGAAAAGGUCAGAUAAACACAAAUUUACGCAGGCGCGACAAGGCUCCAACCCGUGCGCGGGAAUCACCUGGUUGUGUAUGUGUCUGUCAGGGCCUGAUGUGUGCACAUGCACGUGUAGGUUGAGCACUUGAGCGUGAGAGUGUGUGUUGGUCGUGUGGUGUACUGGUGUGGAUUACGAGUGGAUUGUGAAGUCCAAAGUUGUACGGUGAGCCCAUGACUGUAUAAUAACCACUAAACAUAAAGGGUGACCGUAAUGAGUGGAUUAUGAAGUCCAAUGUAUGUAUCGUGCUUUCACUUCAAAUACAAUGAUCGUCAUUGCAUAUAUCGCGAGAGAAAGAUGAAACACGCGUGAAUUUUCUGGGGGCUUACUUUUAGAGGACAUGGAGAUAGUUUUGUGUGCAUACGUGAAAGGGGCGUACAGGGGGGGUAUGCGAUGGAGAGAGAGAUGCUCUCCAUUUCUCUUUAUUAUGACUAACUUUGUAUAUAGUAUAAAAAUAUACAAAUUCACAGUGUGGAAUAAAUAUCAUUGUGGGCACAAUGCAAUGCAAAUUAGCGUUCGUACUCCUCCAUAUAACUUUGUAAUGUUGUAUAUAUGUAGAAACUCUAAAAUAAUUUUUUGGCCACACUUUAUUCAAAAGGAAUGUUGUAUGCGUAAACAUGAAGAGAGGGCUUUUUAGAUCAAUGGGGUACAUGAUGUAACAUGUGUGAAUGUGUAGUUGAUGCAUUUGGCGGGGCCUAGAGAGGUAUGUGUGUGUAUUACGUAUUCAAGAGAGGCAUGGAUAGAGGGGCCGACGGGGGGGGGGGAUAGCACGAGAAAUGAGGGUGGUCUAGAGAGAGAGAGAGACAAAUAUGACGUCACGACAAGAGAUUCCAUUCCCUUGAGUGUGUAUAUGCAAGGGGGGAGGGAAUAGAGGCACCAGGAGAAUUUUUCUGUGUGUGUGGUGUUUGUGUUGGUAUGUGUGGGUGUGAGAAGAUAAUGAGACGUGGGGGCAGAGGGUGUGUCACCGCGUGAGGUCCGGUGGGUCGAGGUGAGGCCCUUUGUUCAGUUCCGUCCUGCGCCACAUUGGUCGGCCCAUAACACAUUUAGGAAGACCCAUGGAUGACUAGUCGUAUAAGACAAACAUAGCAGAAUUGUGAAGGACUCUGUGUCCACUGAUAAAGUCGGCUAGGAUUUGUAACCCUAGGUUCUCGGACUAAGGUAACCCCUCUAUCUCCGAUAUUACUAUUCAUCUGACCUAACUUUAAGGGGCAUCCUACAGAAUGCUUUGCUAGAAUCAUACUCGUCGAUUAGGAAGAGAGGUGUGAGAUAAUGCGUGAGAGACAGGCGUAAAGAUAAUGUGCGUACAUGAGACACGUAGGCAGGUCCAUGUAUAUAGAAAGGGUCGAUGAGGAUUGUGCGUGUGUAUGUUUGCAAGAGGAAGAGUGCUUGUGAUAAAGGUUAGUGAAAACAGUUGUAAAUGGUUACGAGAGGGAGGGAGGGUUAUAUCUAGAGAAUGUGUGCGAGAAAGACACCUCGGGAGAGAGUGUGUGAGCAUGUGUGAGAGACCACUGAUGGAGAGUGAAACUACACGUAAAAGACUGCUCUACACAUUGAUUAAAGAUAUAAAUUGUAUCCAAAUAUUAGGAUGGGAUCAUGAUAUUUGCAAUUCGCGUAAGAAGCGGUCAUUGAUCCAUCAGGCAUCUAGAUUCUAUCGAAUUUGAGCAUGUCUAUGUUAUUAUUCGACACAAUUGAUCCACAUAGUUAGUAUUUUGAACUCCAGACAAUGCAUCGCUUUAGCAAUCGAAUAUAAACGUGAGUAUAGUUCAUGUUGUGUGUGUAAAGCACAUUAUACAUACGAAAGUUACACAAUGGACAUUUAUAAAUAGGUACCUAUGAACUAGUAUACAUUUGAAUUCAACCUAAGGUGGUUUAAAAAAGUCGAAUUCAACAUGAAGUCCAUUGAAUUAUUUGAAUUUGAUAUCAUGGCAUUUGUAAACCAUACCUAAACUAUGGGGGUACCAAUCUUUGGUCUGAUUUUGUACAUAAUAGCAUAUGUAGUCGUGUACAAAAUAGAUUCAAAUUUAGCUCCUUCAUUCCAAAAUAAUCGUAGUUAUAGGAUUUUCAAGUGUCAAAAUUCAAAAGGAAGCGGAUAAUUUAAUGAGGUUUUCAAACAUACAAGGUCAAAUAUAACGUUGUCUAUUUAGGUCAAUCCUCAUAGUUCAAGAGUACUCUAAACGUGAAUGCUUGUGUUUCAAAAUUUCGAACCAAGCGCCAAAAGAGCCUCUACUCGCCCGAAACCGCGUGAGACCAAUGUUUGGUAGUACAAGGAAAUUACUUUUCUAAUAACUCCGACCUGUGAAACCUACCGGCCCGACGUCCAAAGGUCUAAACCGGGGUAGGUUUGUAGCUUCAUCUAGACGCCACGCAACCGCCUCCGAAAAACAUUCAUACACAAUGGCCGCCUAAGCACACAUGCGCGCGGCCGAAAUCGCUCCCGCCCACUACUUGGGACACCUGGGAUUACCAUCCUACCCCUAACCCGCAGUAGGUCCGAAAUUUAAGAGGGGGGCAAAGUUUGUACUUUCCCCAAAUUUCAAACAAGCGCGUCCCAUCUUCUGUUCAAAAAAGCCAAAAACAAGCGCGUCCAGAACCGAAACAUGGUUCCCCCCCACCCGUCUGAUUCCCCAUUCGUACUCCGUGGGCGCCAAAACUACCUCUCCACCAGCCACGAAACCCCGGCGUCCUCCGUCCGCCACCCCAUCCCACCCAUCAACCGCCGCCCUCCUCCAUCACGCCGGAGCCGAUACCCCAACGUCGUCGUCCACCGCAACCUCAAUCGCAACGCCCUCCACGGCUAGUAGUUGAAGCCGAGGCCGAGCCAUCCGUACCCGAGCCAGUUCAACCACGCCGUCCUGCGCCUCACCGCUGCCGCUCCAACUUCGCCACCCUCCACCGCACCGGAGCUGUUCCUGCUACGUCGUCCUUCGCCGCCUCGGAUCUGCUUCCCCUCCGCUGACAUACAUCCACGGCAACACAGUCAACAAUUUGGCCAUGGGUUCAUCCAAGCCUGCACCCUCCAGAACAUCAGUUUCCCCGGUAAAAACAAGAAGAUCGGCGCGACAUGUGGAGGUGACCACACCGGCAACCGAAGAAGGUACUCCUCUUCCCUUAUUCGUGCAAAUCUUACGUCUCUGCUUGCACGGUAUUCAUCCCACAGAAGACACUAGUUGACCGCUUCUUCUUGAUACUAGAUGUUCCUAGUAACUCGCGAUGCACAAGGUUUCUCCUCGUAUACUAUUUCACCUUAGCUAGAGGUCCGUCGCCCCCCCUAAAUUUCAAUUUCUGGCCAGUUGAUUCCCAAUUAACGGAAGCAUUCCCCGGCGUAACAGGCGCUAGUACGACUAUUACGCCGGGGAAGCAGCGCCUUGGUAUUUAUCUUAGGGGCGUCUGCGGCCUAGAGCUACUGGCGCCUGAUCUGGAGGUCGGCGGGAUUAAAGGGAUGGCUUGGGGUGCUGCCAAGCACGGCGGUGUUGUGAGGUCGAUGGGAGGGCGGGGCGGCGGAUGCACGGGUCUGGGCCGAUGGUUGCUGGUGGUUCAUGAAAGAUCAUCAACAGUGACUGGCGGGAGGUAGACGAAGGCCAUCUGCCCGUUCCUUAUAGAUCGGACGGUUCAUUAAAAAAAUCGACUGACCUAUUUAUUUUCAGUCGACUGCUAUCUUAGAUAUGACCACAUGUGGUGGUGUGCUGGAGGAGUACCUGCAUUUCCUGUGCUCAUAUAUUACAAAAUCAUACGAAGUAGAAUCUAAUUUUGUUUGCCAUGCAAUGUUGUAGAGCUAUCAUAUGUCUCUUGUCAUUUAUUUUUAAGCCACCUGCUAUCUGCUCCUUUACAGUGCACUAGUUCUGCACACACUUCACCCAUACUCUCACUAUUGUGUUUUUAUGCAAGGGUAUUUCAGACUCUCCUGCCGAAAGAGAAGCAACAAAGAAAAGAGAGAAGUCGCUCCAGCUUGGUAUACGGGUAGGCAAGACACGUUACAACGCUAUAAAGGGUGCAGUGUCAGCAGAUGGAGACGAUAAACGUAGCUCUGUAGUUGAUGACCUUGCUCGCAAUGAACCACCAUCCCAGGUGCUUGCUUUAACUUUGCGAUGUCAUAUGUGGUUGCAUGUUGGUGUCUAGCUUGUAUUUGAAAGGCCGAAGUCAGUCUUUAUUAAGAUGAGGAAAGAUAUUUUUUACAUGAACCACCAUCCCGUGAGCACCAGAAGACAAAUAGCUAGUCAGGGCACUGGCCGAGCCAGUGACAAGCCCAGCAAAGACAGGCAUCACCUGGAAGCCAACUAAAAAGCCGCGAUGGUGGCGAAGCAGCCCGCCUCCCACCAGGGUCUCAGGUCCUAGAUGAUCAUGUUCACCACUCCAGCCGGAUGUCUAGCUUGUAUUGCUUCCAAUUUGGUUAAAUUGCAUCUGCUUAGCUUACACAUUAUACCUUUGAAUAUGACAUGCCUUUGUGUUUUUGGUACAUACUAGUACAUUUGUGUAUUAACCAUGUUCUUACAUCAAACUAAUGUUCUUGUGGAUCCCUCAUCAAUCACUUAUGACGAGGCAGGCAAGCAAGGGGGCUACUCCUCAUUUAAAGAAUGCAGCGUCAGCCUCCCGACAUGAUUCUCAAGAAACAGAAAUGCUAGAUGAAGAUAGUGGACGUAGCUCUGUAGUUGAUUACAGCAUUUCCCCUACACUAGCAUUGCAGAUGCUUGCUCUAACUUGGCAGUGUGAUAUGUGGUUGCAUGUUGCAUAUGGUGUCUAGAUUGUAAUUCUUCCAAUCUGGUUAAACUGCAUGUGCUAGUCUGCUUAGCUUAUACUCCUGUAAAUGUGACAUUAUGCCUGUUAAUGUGACAUGCCUUCCUGUAUUUAGUACAUAGUACAUCUAUCUAUUAAGCAUGUCCUUACAUAAAACUAUUGUUUUUUGUAUCCCGCAUCAAUCAAUAUGACGAGACACCUUUAGUAUAUGGAGUGCGAUAUUAGUUGCAUCUUUCAUAUGAUUUAUAGCAUGUGUUGCUUCUAAUUUGUUGAAAUUCCAUUUAUGAUGGGACGCUUUUAACUUGGCAGUCAUAUUGGUUGCAUCUUUCAUGUGGUGUCUAGCUUGCAUUGCUUCUUAUUUGAUGGAAUGGUUUCUGCUUAGUUUACACAAACAGUUGUGAACAUGCCAUGCCGUCCUGUUUUUCGUACAUAUUCCAUCGUGGUAUCAUGUGUUUGCCUUACAUCAAAGUAGUGAUUGUCAGUAUCAUGCAUGAAUGAGUUCUGAAGAGAGAAUUUUAUUGCUUUUUCUUGUCGGUUUUACUUGACAAUUCAAAAUCAAUAAAGCGGAAGGAAGUUAGCAAGGCAGCGGAUAAAGGUGCUCCUUCCAAAUGGAGGGCCUCUACAGUUUCUACUCCUCCACACCCCCGAGAUGAUUUCCAAGACAACACAUGCAUAGACACUCAACAAAGCUGUGUUUAUGAUGAGCAUGUCUCCCCUAGUGCAGCAUCACUGGUGCUCCCUCUAACUUGGCACUGUUAUAUGUGGUUGCAUGUUAUGUGUGAUGUCUAGCUUGUAUUGCUUCUAAUUUUGUUGAAUUCCAUCUGCUUACUUUACACAUUAUACUUGAAUAAGACACGUGUUCCUGUUUCUAGAACAUACACUAUCUGUCUAUCACACCAUGUUCUUACAUCAAAUUACUAUUGUUGUGUAACCUGCAACAAUCACUUAUCAUAAGACACGUUUGACUUCAGAGUGUGAUAUAGGUUACAUCUCACAUUCUUUUCUAGCGUGUACUACUAAUUUGUUGAAAUGGCACUUAUGACGAGACAGUUUAACCUAGUAGAGUGAUAUUAUUUGCAUCUUUCAUAUGGUGUCUAGCUUUCAUUGCUUCUAACUUGUUGAAAUGCUUUCUCCUUAGUUUACACAUCAUAAGCUGUGAAUAUGCAAUGCUGUGAAUAUGCAAUGGCACUAAUGACGAGAGACCUCUAACAUGGUAGUGUGAUGUUGUUUGCAUCUUGCAUAUGAUUUAUUUCUUGUACUGCUUCACAUUUGUUUAAACGCCAUUUAUGUUGAGACACUGUUAACUUGGCAAAGCAAUAUUUGUAGCAUCUUUCAUAUGGUGUCUACCUUCCAUUGCAUUGCUUCUAAUUUGGUGAAAUGUCUUCUUCUUAGUUUACACAUCAUAGUUCUGGUUAUCUCUUCCGUCCUGUUUUUCAUACAUAUUACAUCCUCCUAUCAUGUGGUUGUCUAACAUCAAAGUUUUAUUCGUCUGCAUCAUGCAUCAAUUUGUUCUGAAGAACUAAAUUUUAUUCAUUUUUCUUAUCGGCUUGACUUAACAUGGCACAAAGAAAGAGGAAGAAACAGAGAAUGGUAGGGAAUGAGAAGCGGAUGAAUCAUGCAGAUUCUGCUGGUACUGAUGGUGCAAUAGAAGAUGAAAGUCCAGCGGAAAAUUCUACAAACACGGCAUCCCAUGCUACACGAACUGCAAAAAAAGCCAAACAAAAACAAAUAGCUGCCACCAAACAAGCAGAGACAACCCUAGUUCUUGUAACACCUACCAUAGUACUACCAGCUGCACGACAUACUCGUGCGUCAACUGAGCUAGCAGCAUGUUCCCAAGCUCCCUUGCCACCUGACACUACUUCCCAAGCACUCUUGACACAAGACGAGUUGGCAAUAUCAGAUGAACCUUGUGAGCUUCAACAACAAGAAGGUAGUUGCUGGAGUCAAGUUAUAGUUGCAUGCUUCUUUAUAUGUAGUCUCACAGUUUGAUGUACACUAACACUUCCAAUGUUUGUUGUUGGACUAGCACCUAGGCGCAAGAGGAAACAAACAUCAGGGAUAAUGCUCGAUAGGUUAACUAAAUCUAGAGGAGGAAGAAUGGAGAUCCAUUUUGAGGCAAGUUUAAAAAGGCCACGUGAUGCUACAAAGUCAGCCAAGUUAGUAUCAGAGGCAGCGUUUGCCGUUAGGUGUCAUGUACGUAUCCUCCCAACAUGGAUUCAGUACAGGAAUGACAAAGACGAAACCCAGUUCAACACCUUCCUCGACCAUUUAUCUGUAAGUAUGGUUAUGUAUGGAAACUAGUAAUAUCGUUUUGCUCUGUCCCAUACUUUCUAGGUUGCUGAUAAUGAGACUCCCAUAAUUUUCAACAGAUGAGGUUCAAGUUGGAUAGCCAAGAUGAUGCAACCAGACAAGCUUGCACUCAUGUUUUCAAGUCUGCUCUGCGACAGUAUCGGUAUAACUUGAGGAAAACUCACUUUGAAGGCAAGGCUAACAGUGAACUUUCCCAAACAUCUCCAGUGGAAAAUAUAUCGGAUGAAGACUGGAGGAGCCUUGUUAAACACUGGUCUGAUCCGAAGUAUUAGGUACAUUAUAUAUAUGUGAUCAGAUCACAUGUUGAAGUCCUAUUGACGCAUGUGCCACACAAAUCUAUCUUCUUGUAGGUGAACUGUUCAAAGAACAAGGCCAACUGUACGAAAGUGAAAUUCCAACAGACGACAGGAUCUCAUAGCUACAUUGCACACUGCGAGGCUCUUGUAAUUAGCUGCUGUUUCACUCUUUUCGCUGUACCAUAUUAUCAGAUCUAUAUUGACUUGUUCGAAAUGCAGAGGAAAGCCCGCAAGGACCAAAAAGUACCUGAACCAAAUGCUGUGGAAAUCUUCAAGGACUAUCACACCCGCAAGAAGAAGGGCAUGACUACACCAGUCAAAGCCGCUGUUGUAAGUCCUUAAUCCUCAUGCCUUUUAACUACUACUUACUCUGACUUGUGCCUUGAACUGCAUGGUUUGCAGCCAAUGUCUAUUACUCUUUUCAAUUUUAUACACAAUUGUCUUAGCGUAUCAUAGCACCUUACAAGGUUUAAAAGGGAGGAGUGAUGUUCCUUUGAUCUUGACCCGUAAUCUAGUUCCGUGCUGGACUUGCCCACACAACGUUACAAUUGCCUGUUUGUCUGUUCUCAGUUGUUUUGUGAUAUGAAUGAUGUCAUACUAUGCUUACCGUAUUAUAAACUUCGUCUCUUUAUUCUUAGCCCUCAAUACAAUGUGAAGAAAUAGACAAUACAUUAGCGAUGGUACAUGAUCAUAUGUUUGGAACCUGGUUUUAUUAUGUACUUUGCAAUAAAAUACAACUAAUAUUUUCCAUGGGUUCACCAGAAUAAGUUCUGUAUAUACAACAACAACAACAACAACAACAAAGCCUUUAGUCCCAAACAAGUUGGGGUAGGCUAGAGGUGAAACCCAUAAGAUCUCGCAACCAACUCAUGGCUCUGGCACAUGGAUAGCAAGCUUCCACGCACCCCUGUCCAUAGCUAGCUCUUUGUCGAUACUCCAAUCCUUCAGGUCUCUCUUAACGGACUCCUCCCAUGUCAAAAUAGGUCGACCCCACCCUCUCUUGACAUUCUCCGCACGCUUUAGCCGUCCGCUAUGCACUGGAGCUUCUGGAGGCCUGCGCUGAAUAUGCCCAAACCAUCUCAAACGAUGUUGGACAAGCUUCUCCUCAAUUGGUGCUACCCCAACUCUAUCUCGUAUAUCAUCAUUCCGGACUCGAUCCUUCCUCGUGUGGCCACACAUCCAUCUCAACAUAUGCAUCUCCGCCACACCUAACUGUUGAACAUGUCGCCUUUUAGUCGGCCAACACUCCGCGCCAUACAACAUUGCGGGUCGAACCGCCGUCCUAUAGAACUUGCCUUUUAGCUUUUGUGGCACUCUCUUGUCACAGAGAAUGCCAGAAGCUUGGCGCCACUUCAUCCAUCCGGCUUUGAUUCGAUGGUUCACAUCUUCAUCAAUACCCCCAUCCUCCUGCAACAUUGACCCCAAAUACCGAAAGGUGUCCUUCCGAGGUACCACCUGGCCAUCAAGGCUAACCUCCUCCUCCUCACAGCUAGUAGUACUGAAACCGCACAUCAUGUACUCGGUUUUAGUUCUACUAAGCCUAAACCCUUUCGAUUCCAAGGUUUGUCUCCAUAACUCUAACUUCCUAUUUACCCCUGUCCGACUAUCGUCAACUAGCACCACAUCAUCCGCAAAGAGCAUACACCAUGGGAUAUCUCCUUGUAUACCCCUUGUGACCUCAUCCAUCACCAAUGCAAAAAGAUAAGGGCUCAAAGCUGACCCCUGAUGCAGUCCUAUCUUAAUCGGGAAGUCAUCGGUGUCGACAUCACUUGUUCGAACACUUGUCACAACAUUAUUGUACAUGUCCUUGAUGAGGGUAAUGUACUUUGCUGGGACUUUGUGUUUCUCCAAGGCCCACCACAUGACAUUCCGCGGUAUCUUAUCAUAGGCCUUCUCCAAGUCAAUGAACACCAUAUGCAAGUCCUUCUUAUGCUCCCUAUAUCUCUCCAUAAGUUGUCGUACCAAGAAAAUGGCUUCCAUGGUCGACCUCCCAGGCAUGAAACCAAACUAAUUUUUGGUCACGCUUGUCAUUCUUCUUAAGCGGUGCUCAAUGACUCUCUCCCAUAGCUUCAUUGUAUGGCUCAUCAGCUUAAUUCCACGGUAAUUACUACAACUCUGAACAUCCUCCUUGUUCUUGAAGAUUGGUACUAAUAUACUCCGUCUCCAUUCUUCUGGCAUCUUGUUUGCCCGAAAAAUGAGGUUGAAAAGCUUGGUUAGCCAUACUAUCGCUAUGUCCCCGAGACCUUUCCACACCUCAAUGGGGAUACAAUCAGGGCCCAUCGCCUUGCCUCCUUUCAUCCUUUUUAAAGCCUCCUUCACCUCAGACUCCUGGAUGCGCCGCACAAAACGCAUGCUGGUCUCAUCAAAGGAGUCAUUCAGUUCAAUGGUAGAACUCUCAUUCUCCCCAUUGAACAGCUUGUCGAAGUACUCCCGCCAUCUAUGCUUAAUCUCUUCGUCCUUCACCAAGAGUUGGCCUGCUCCGUCCUUGAUGCAUUUGACUUGGCCAAUAUCCCUCGUCUUCCUCUCCUGGAUCUUAGCCAUCUUAUAGAUGUCCCUUUCACCUUCCUUCGUGCCUAACCGUUGGUAGAGGUCCUCAUAUGCCCGACCCCUUGCUUCACCAACAGCUCGCUUUGCGGCCUUCUUCGCCAUCUUGUACUUCUCUAUGUUGUCUGCACUCCUAUCCAGGUAUAGGCGUCUGAAGCAAUCUUUCUUCUCUUUAAGCGCCUUCUGGACAUCAUCAUUCCACCACCAGGUAUCCUUAUCUUCGCUUCUCCUUCCCCUGGACAGUCCAAACUCCUCCGAGGCCACCUUACGAAUGCAAGUCGCCAUCUUCAUCACACAUUGUCCGCAUCCCUUCCUUCCUCCCAAGGGCCCUCCUUAAAUACCCUCUCCUUGAACACCUGAGCUACCUCCCCCUUGAGCUUCCACCACUUCGUUCUAGCGACCUUGGCACGCUUAUCCCGCUGGACACGAAUCCGAAAGCGGAAGUCAGCAACCACCAGCUUAUGCUGGGGUACAACACUCUCCCCAGGUAUCACCUUACAGUCUAGGCACACACGCCUAUCUUCUCUUCUCGAGAGGAUGAAAUCAAUCUGGCUAGAGUGUUGGCCACUACUAAAAGUCACCAGAUGUGAUUCUCUCUUUCUAAAGAGGGUGUUAGCUACAAUCAUGUUGUAGGCUAGAGCAAAGCUUAAGACAUCUUCUCCUUCUUGAUUCCUGAUGCCAUAGCCAAAGCCCCCAUGCGCCCCUUCAAAACCUGUGUUAGAUGUACCCACGUGGCCAUUGAGGUCUCCUCCUAUGAAGAGCUUCUCACCAAUCGGUACACUCCUAACCAUGUCUUCCAAGCCUUCUCAGAACUCCCUCUUGGUGUUCUCAUUGUGGCCAAAGCUAUUUUGUUUGGUUUUGCUGCCUCCUUAAUAUCUUCUGUUCUGGUACUACUAAUGUAAAACCUCAACUUUUCAGUGAGCUAUGGAAAAAAUGGUGGAACCGCCACCUUCUGAAGGUGGCGAGGCAACUAUAACCGCAAUGUCAGCUCUUGCUGCAGUGGGUCAGUACCUGUCCACUAACAGUGCCAAAAGCACGUUCCUGCGUAAUAUUGGGUUGGUUGUUAAGGCAAUAUCAUCCAAACUGCCUCAUGAUCAAGAUAUGCAAGCUCAAAGCAAUGUUGUAUCUGCGCUCCAGACACAAGUCCAUUCCCUAAUAGAGGCCCUUUGUGAAACAAGGAGAAACAUUGCUCAAUGUCGUCAAGAUAUGCAUGGUUUUGAAACCAGACUAUCAGACAUUUGCUAUGUUGUUCAGGAGCCUAGGGGAAAUGAAGGCAAGGGUUAUGGUGUUCCAUCGGACAAUACAGCAUGAAAACGUAACAGUCAGGUCAAAUGAACCGAGCUUCUGAACUUCUGGUGGUGCAUUUAUCUGCUAGACUUUUAAGUUUUAUGCCAACCUUCCUUUUGUUAUAUAGUUGUAAUUUGUUUUGGUGCGAUACAAAAUUUAUUCUUAACGAGCAGCCACCGGCUGAAGAAAACAGCAAGCCAUUUUUGUAUAGUGUAGGGUGUUCCCUAUAUUUGCACUGGUGGCGAUCUUUGAUGCCGAGUGGAUGUAAUCUGUGCAAUCGCCUUAAUAGCCUAGCGUUAGUUUGGGCCUUAUUUAUUUCCUAGUCUUCUUUUUCCCUGGUUUGCUAGUGGCUGCAACUACCCAUGGGUCAUAUAUGGGCCGUAGGAUCCAUGGGUCUCCUACGGGCAGUCAAUAAAUGGGCUUGUAAUCGGUGGGCCUCGGGCCCUCGAUAAAUGGGCCUAGGGCCGUCGGAUAAAUGGGUCUACAUGGGCCGUAAUCGGGCGUAAUUGGUAUCGGCCCAACACGGUAACGGGCCGUUAACAGGCCGUAGGACUGCAAAAGCUUAAUUCUGUCACAGGCAUAACUGGUCGUUAAUGGGCCAGAAUAUAGGACGAGCUCGCCAGAAACGGGCCGACUCUUGCCAUGGGCCGAAUUUGGCCCAUUAGGGUAACAGGCCAGUAACGGGCCGACUCUUGCCAUGGGCCGAAUUUGGCCCAUUUGGGGAACAUGCCAGUAACGGGACGACUCUUGCCAUGUGCCGAAUUUGGCACAUUAGGGGAACAUGCCAGUAACGGGUCGGAAGUAAUCAAGGGCCGAAAAGGAGCCCAAGAAUGUAUGGGCCGUCAAUAGGCCGAAAGCUAACACAGGCUGGAAACGGCCCAUGUAAAUCACAGGCCGUUAACGGGUACAAAGAAAAUUACUGUUCAUUAUGGGCUAGAGUCACCGUGGGCCUGUAAACGGCCGAAAGAUACGAAGGCCUCAUAUGGGCCGAAAGACGUCGUGGGCCAUACAUGGGCCGAAAGUGAAAUGGGCUGGUGUUAUAUUCGACGGGCCACAUGACGUUGUUGGGCCGAUUUCCUUUAGUGCCUAACGGGCCGUAAAAUGGGCUAUUUGCGAAGAGACCGUUAACAGGCUCUUCAUGGGCCAGCCCGUUAACUUUUGACCAAGUCAAACGGGCCGGCUUUGUAAGCUAAAUGGGCUAGUGGUGGGUCGUGGCACGUGUCAACAUAUCAUAGGCUCCUAUCUGACCCACUGAGGAGCUGACACGUGUUUCGUCCGGCCAAUAAGAAUUUUACACGUGGAAAUUUCCCAUUGGUCGGGGCUGUUAAGGGGUUAUCGGAUCCAAAACCCGACCCGAUAGCUUAACGGCGUUCUGUUACGGUGGAUGCCACGUGUCGGUCACCCUUGACGAAAGCACUUCUGUGACGCACGAUUUAUCGUCAUGGAAGUGGACACUUCCGUGAUGAUAAUUUUGGUAACGUCAUGGAACACUUCUACGACAACACAGGUAUGACUAUCUUGAUUCUGUCAUAAAUUUGUCAUGGAUGUACAUGCAUGACAAAAAACGCGACCUACUAUGACAAACACGUAUCAUCACGAAAGUGUAUUUUUUUUGUAGUGAUAUGACCAACACCCAUUCUUCUUAUGGCUUUGGGAGGAAUUUCAUCACCUACAUCACAAGUACCACUUUGCUCCACUUGGGAGCCGUUAUUCUCGUCAAACACUAUGUUACACGUCUCCUCAAUGAGUCCGGUGGACUUGUUGAGGACACGGUAAGCAUGCGAGUUUGUAGCAUAACCAACAAAUAUGCCCUCAUAAGCUCUAGCCUCAAAUUUAGACAGGCGAACACCUUUCUUGAGAAUGAAACACUUACACCUGAACACCCAGAAGUACUUGAGGUUGGGCUUGUUACCGGUAAGUAUUUCGUAUGGAGUCUUGUUCAAGCCUUUGCGGAGAUAGAGCCGAUUGGAUGCAUGACAUGCUGUGUUGAUGGCUUCGGCCCAAAACUUGUAUGGAGACUUGAACUCUGCCAUCAUGGUCCUUGCCGCAUCCAUCAACGUCCGGUUCUUCCUCUCCGCGACACCAUUUUGUUGAGGGGUAUAUGGUGCAGCAUAUUGAUGCUUGAUCCCCUCAUCACUAAGAAACUCAUCCAAGGUAUAGUUCUUGAACUUGGUGCCGUUGUCACUUCUUAUUGUCAAGAUCUUUGCAUCAUGUUGACAUUGAGCUUCAUUUGCAAAGUCGAUGACAGUUUGUUGAGUCUCACUCUUCCUCUUGAAGAAGUAUACCCAAGUGUAUCUUGAAUAAUCAUCCACAAUCACCAAGCAAUACUUUCUACCUCCAAGACUAUCAAAGGAUGGAGGCCCAAAGAGAUCCAUGUGAAGGAGCUCCAAGGGUCUCUUCGAGUAGAUGAUAGUCGUGGGAGGGUGAGUGUCGGUGUCAAAACCGGCGGAUCUCGGGUAGGUGGUCCCGAACUGUGCGUCUAGGCGGAUGGUAACAGGAGACAAGGGACACGAUGUUUUACCCAGGUUCGGGCCCUCUUAAUGGAGGUAAAACCCUACGUCCUGCUUGAUUAAUAUUGAUGAUGUGUGUUACAAGAGUGGAUCUACCACGAGAUCAAGGAGGCUAAACCCUAGAAGCUAGCCUAUGGUAUGAUUGUUGUUCGUCCUAUGGACUAAAGCCAUCCGGUUUAUAUAGACACCGGAGAGGGCUAGGGUUACACAAAGUCGGUUACAAUGGUAGGAGAUCUACAUAUCCGUAUCGCCAAGCUUGCCUUCCACGCCAAGGAAAGUCCCAUCCGGACACGGGACGAAGUCUUCAAUCUUGUAUCUUCAUAGUCUUGGAGUCCGGCCGAUGAUGAUAGUCCGGCUAUCCGGACACCCCCUAGUCCGGGACUCCCUCAGUAGCCCCCGAACCUGGCUUCAGCGACGACGAGUCCGACGCGUAUAUUGUCUUCGGCGUUGCAAGGCGGGUUCUCCUUCAAACUUCAUGUUCCUGUCGAAUAGUGUCCGGCUUCCUUAUAAAUGUUGCGCUCCUUGGCUUCUACGCCCAAUAAUGGCCUUCUUCCACGUGUCGUAUGAAUGCGAAAAGCUAGGAUAUUUUUACAUUUUACCCCCUAGCUGCGUGAACGAGCCGCCUAUAAGAGAGGCGAGGAUCUAGAUCCAGCUCACACCAUCCUCCAUUCGCAAGUUCUCACCGAAGCGCUUCUGACAAAAAUCCAUUCCAUCAUGGAUAGUCGACGCGGCUCCUCCUCUCGCGCUCCCAGCCCUAAGCUAGGAGAUUGGGGAGAUGCUCAGUUCCACACAGCGAGCUAGUGGCGCUCCAAACCGAGGGAUAUCUUCCCCCAGCUUUCAUGGUCCCGGUUCGAGCCGGACUGGCCACCUUCAAGGGUGGAAAGCAGGCGGAGAGCGUCCCCAACCCUUCCAAAGGAGAGUGGGUAUGCUUCGUCCCUUAUCUAAUAAGGGGCUCGGAUUCCCCAUACAUCCGUUUCUCCGGGGGCUCCUGGAGUUCUAUGGACUCCAGCUUCACCACCUCACACCUGCCUCCAUUUUACACAUCGCGGGCUUUGUAGCUCUUUGCGAGCUGUUCCUGGGCAUCGAGCCCCAUUUUGCGCUGUGGAAGAGAUUGUUCUGCCUUGUACCCCGUUCUUAUGAGGGGUCGAUAUAUCAAGUGGGCGGAGCCGAAAUAUGGCGCAUCGCCGGGACCGGAUAUCUAUCCGGCACCCCGAAGAAGGCAUCCGAAGACUGGCCUUCGGAAUGGUUCUACAUGGAGGACGCCCCUCUGCCGGAUCCAGUUCGGAUCGGCCUCCCGGAGUUCAGUAAUGCUCCCUUGAAGAAACGCCUGAGUUGGCGCCCGCGGAGCCCUCAACGGGAGCAUGAUAGGGGCGUCCAUUAUCUGAUGGGCCGGAUUAGGUUACUGGCCCACUCCGGAUUGACCAUGAUUGGAAUCAUGGCCACGUGCAUUAUGCGAGGGGUGCAGCCACUCCAAUAUAGGGGCCACCCUAUGUGGGAUUUCAACGGGGAAGAUGACGCCACCCGUCACGGCCGCAGAGGGCCGAGCUCGGCAGCCGAUCUGGCAAAGAUCCUGUCGGUCUUGUACAAGGGGGAGGAGGAGGACUUUCUCCGCACGAAUCCAUUGAACGGAUUCUCCAUGAAUAACCCUUAGAGCUGGGUAAGCGGACGUUUAUCUACCCGAUCCAUACUUCCAAAGUCAAGUAUUUUACUUUGUGAUUUCGACGCAGGAGCUGCGCCGGGAUGUGGAGGGCAUACAAAGCCUAACUCCACAGCCCGAGGAUCCGGAACGAUCCCUUGAUCCGACCUCCGAAGAGGAUCCGGACAUAAAGGUGGAGCUGAUUGACGGGGUGUUCCACCACCUUAGCAUGGACAAUGCUCUAGUCGCCAUUACGGCUGACUACCCCGGUUUGAUUCCGGCCUCCCAGGUGACUACGACCGAGGUCUUGACACCAUCAUUUGAUCCGUGCUCAAUUCUGGCCAUCCUAUACUGAUGGUGCAUCACAGGAGGUGCCUUUAAGGCGGGAAGCCAAACCUGCGGCGGCUGACCAGCAAGGGUCAGUUCGGCCCAGCAGGCGGAAGAGGAGUGCGACGCAGGUCGAAACGUCGCCGCAACGGUACGGCGCAUCGUUGUUUUUAAGGGAAGGAUCCCUAUGAAGUAUAUUAACGCUCAUAACUCUUUCCAGGAGAAAGAGCGCUCGCCGGACAGUGUUCGGAGAGGUUGCCAAUCAAGCCUCCGCCAGCCAUGCUCCAUCGCGUGGUCCGGAAGUGGAGGCGAACACAAGGCAAGAGCUGGAUGCUCCCCCGACGGAGGAUGCCGACAUGCUGUCCGCCACCCAAUCUGAGGUGGAGAGCGCCAUGAAUCACACGCGUCGCCGGACAGUUCUUCGUGACGCGUGUUUCUCCCCGGAGGCGUUGAAUGCCUUUGAUGCGGGAAACGCGCACCUCCGUGCUGCUCAAGAUGGUUUAACCAGAGCCACGGAGCAGUAUGUGAAGGACAUACGGGUAAGUAAUUUUAAUAGUUAUAUAUGCUAGUAGCCCCCGAGACUUAAAAUAGUUAAAAUAACUGAUUUUAGGAUCACUUAUUAUGCAGGAUCUUACGGAGAAGAAUACCCACCUGUCCCAGGAGCUCCAAGAGUGCAAGGCCCAACUUGAGGCCGCACUAGCCACCAUAGGGGGAGCCACAGAGACCCCCGCUGGUAAUACGUACUUCGAAAAGAUAAGUAGUUAACAAAGUGCGGCGUGUGCAUAAAUCUGACAAUAAUAUUGCAGAGGGCGCCGGACUAGAUCCGGACAAGCAACAACUACUGCGUCAGCUAAAGGCCGGCGAGAGGGUGCUUAUGAAGGUGCAGCAGGAGAGAAACAAGCUCCAAGAUGCCCACACCCAACUAGGAGAAGAGCUGAAAGGUGUUUGGGCCCAACUGUCUGGCUCCGUGAAGGAGAAUCAACGGCUUCGUCGCGGCAUUUAUAGUAAGUGCUUGAGCAAAUUCCUUUGAAAAGAAGAAUUCGGCGAGGAAGCCGAUUGCCAGAAAUGUGUCUUUAGGUGUGCUCACAGGUCGCCCUGCGGAGGAAAUGCCUAGUUCAACGGGUGACCAACUUCCCGAGCUGGUUCAACUGCUUGAACGUGUUCGGCAGGCGAUGAGUGGCGUCGUUCAGGCUUUAUGGCCUUCCGUCUCCCUACCCGAGGGCCUUGGAGAGCUUGCUGAGAAGCUUCAUGGAGCACGGCGACGCCUCCGUCCGUGGAAAAUAUCGGCAUGCCGUCAAGGCGCCAGGGAGGCCUGGGCCAUGGUGAAGACGCGGUACCCGAAGGCUGACCCAAACCACAUGGACAAGGUCGGACCUGCGGGGCCUGAUGGGAAGGAGAUCCCUGUGAGCUUGAUGUACGGCCAAGUAGAGCUGGCCGCGAAAUAUUCCCAAUAGGACUGUAAAUUAGAUAGCCUGUUAGAUGGGAUUGAAGAGGAGUACAAUCAGUCAGUUUGACGAUGUAAUUUGAAAUGACAUGUAAAAUGCCUUCUAGCCGGAUUGUAGAUCGUUUGUCUUUGCGGACCUUUUCGCUUCAACCUCCGGACCCAACAGUCCGGAGUGUGUCCGAAUACCCUUACGGUUAUAGAAGAACCGGGGCAUGCAUGGAGACAAGGCGUCGGGGUCAUAAUUGCUUUAUCAGACAAGUGCCCAACUAGCUAUGUUAUAUUACAUGGUUAGUAAGAAACAUCUUCCAGGGAGAAUAGUUCCGUUAAGGGUUCCUUUCCCUGGGAGGCAUGCCCUAAAGUGCAUGUCCGGACUGCGAAAAUAGCAGAAAAAGCAUCUGGGGGCAAAUAAAUAAGUAAGUAAUAAAUCAUCUUUCAAGUCACCGACCGAAUAUUCUCUUAAGAACGCUAGCUUUCGGCUUCACCCAGUCUGAGGUACACAUCCGGCUGACCCGGCAGUAACAAUCGCAGAGGUGCUCCCUUUACCUCCUAGCCGAACAAUCGGGAACGUAGGGUUAAGCACAGGAGCCAGGCAACCCAGCUUGGCCAAAACUUAAGUCAUAUUGAUGCAUAUAAUGGUGAAUAAAAGGUACAUGCGGAAGUAUGACACAUGUGUUGGGCAUGAAGCCCGUAUAAAUAAGCUUCUGUUAAAGAAGCCCCCAGGUAUAACGAGUGCUAGGAGCACAUCGAGUGUGUGCGAACAAUGCGCAAAUCAGCCUAUCAAAGGUAUUGAAAAAAAAGUGGGAAGAAGGAGGGGGACAAGAGAUAGUGAAAAUGUAAAAAGGUGGACGGAGGGGUGAGACGAACUCUGAGUCCGGCGUUAGGCGUAGAAUCUUCGGAGACGGGCUGCGUUCCAUGGGUUCGGCUCGAGUCUGUUGUCAGAUGCAUUACGUAGACGGUAUGCUCCGCCGGUCAGGACUUGGUCGAUGAUGAAGGGACCUUCCCACUUGGGCUUAAGUUUGUCCUUUUUCUUGUCCGGCAGGCGUAGAACAAGUUCGCCAACAUUGUAAGCUUUGGCCCGUACUUCUCUGUUUUGAUAUCUUCGAGCCUGCUGUUGAUAAAAUGCGGAACGAGCUUUUGCCACGUCCCGCUCCUCCUCUAAGGCGUCCAAACUGUCCUGCCGAUCCAGCUCGGCUUCUCUUUCUUCGUACAUGCGCACGCGAGGUGAGUCAUGAAUUAUAUCGCAGGGCAGAACUGCCUCUGCGCCGUACACCAUAAAAAAUGGUGUGAAUCCGGUAGUUCGGUUUGGCGUGGUCCGCAGCCCCCAGAGUACGGAGUCGAGCUCUUCUACCCAGUGCGUGUUAGAUUCCUUGAGGGACCGCACUAGUCUGGGUUUGAUGCCGCUCAUGAUUAGACCAUUUGCUCGCUCGACUUGACCGUUAGUUUGAGGGUGAUAGACUGAAGCGUAGUCGAGCUUGAUGCCCAUGUUUUUGCACCAGAGUUUAACCUCGUCGGCCGUGAAAUUCAUGCCGUUAUCAGUGAUGAUGCUGUUGGGGACGCCAAAACGGUGUACUACCCCGGAUAUGAAGUCUAUCACAGGUCCGGAUUCUGCCAUUUUAACCGGCUUGGCUUCAAUCCAUUUGGUGAAUUUGUCCACCAUGACCAAUAAGUAUUUGUGCUUGUGGGUUCCCCCUUUAAGGGGUCCAACCAUGUCAAGCCCCCCGACCGUGAACGGCCAGGUGAUGGGUAUAGUUUUGAGGGCGGUGGGUGGCAUGUGGCUCUGAUUAGCAAAGAGCUGGCAACCGACGCAUCGUUGGACUAAGUCCUGAGCAUCUGCCCGGGCUGUUGGCCAAUAAAAUCCUGUACGGAAGGCCUUGCCUACAAGGGCCCGGGCUGCGGCGUGGUGCCCGCCGAGUCCGGCGUGAAUUUCAGCCACGAGAUUUCGCCCCUCCUCUUCGGAGAUACACCUUUGAAGGACUCCGGUUGCGCUUUUCUUAUAAAGUUCUCCCUCAUGGACCUUGUAGGCUUUAGAUCGCCGAACUAUGCAGCGGGCCUCGUUUUGGUCUUCGAGAAGUUCCUGCCUAAUUAAGUAGGCUAGGAAUGGUUCCGUCGACGGGGCAAUUACUGCCAUUAUUUCGUGGGCUGAAGGUGAUAUUUCAUUGGCUGAGCCGCCGAUUGUGUUAGAAUUGUCUGAGUUAGGUGAUGCAGCUGGCUCCGGAUUGUUAUUUCCGGACUCCUCUUCCCAUAGUACGGAUGGCUUAAAGAGUCGUUCCAGGAAGAUGUUUGGAGGGACGGCGUCACGUUUUGCGCCGAUGCGUGCUAACACGUCUGCUGCCUGGUUAUUGUCCCGGGCUACAUGAUGGAAUUUGAGUCCUUCGAACCGAGCUGACAUUUUUAGGACGGCGUUGCGGUAAGCUGCCAUUUUUGGAUCUUUGGCGUCAUGGGAUAUUGCGAGGUUUGAAUCCCCACGCACCUCUAGGCGUUGAAUGCCCAUGGAGAUUGCCAUCCGGAGGCCGUGUAGAAGGGCCUCGUAUUCGGCUGCGUUGUUGGAGUCCAUGUACAUUAUUUGAAGUAUGUAUUGGACUGUGUCUCCAGUUGGGGACGUCAAGACGACGCCAGCCCCCAAGCCAGCCAACAUUUUGGAUCCGUCGAAAUGCAUGAUCCAAUUGGAGUACGCGCCGUACUCUUUAGGGAGUUCGGCUUCGGUCCAUUCGGCGACGAAGUCAGCCAGGACUUGCGACUUUAUAGCUCGUCGUGGUUUGUAGGUUAUGUCAAAUGGUAAGAGCUCAAUGGCCCAUUUUGCAAUCCUGCCCGUUGCGUCGCGAUUGUUUAUAAUAUCAUUGAGAGGUACUUCGGAGGCCACCGUUAUGGAACACUCUUGAAAGUAGUGUCGCAGCUUCCGGGAUGCCAUGAACACCGCAUACGCUAUCUUUUGAUAAUGUGGGUACCGGGACUUGCAUGGCGUUAAGACAGUGGAUACGUAGUACACUGGUUUUUGAAGAGGGAAUCUGUGCCCUUCUGUUUCUCGUUCGACGACGAGUACCGCGCUGACAACUUGAUGUGUUGCUGCGAUAUAUAAUAGCAUAGGUUCGCCCAGGUUGGGCGCGGCCAGGACCGGAUUUGUUGCCAGUAUGGCCUUGAUUUCUUCGAGUCCGGUCGUGGCGGCAUCCGUCCAUUCGAAUGUUCGGUGCGCCGGAGGAGGCGAUAGAGGGGUAGAGCCUUUUCUCCCAAACGGGAGAUGAAGCGGCUUAGAGCCGCUAUGCACCCAGUUAGUUUUUGUAUUUGCUUGAGGUCUUUUGGGAUAUCCAAUUGUGACAGAGCUCGGAUCUUGGCUGGGUUUGCUUCGAUUCCUCUACCGGAUAGGAUGAAGCCCAAAAGCUUUCCGGCUGGUACUCUGAAGACACAUUUUUCCAGGUUGAGCUUAAUGUCAUAUGCUCGGAGGUUGUCAAAUGUCACCCUCAAGUCGUCAACUAGAGUUUCGACGUGUUUGGUCUUGACGACCACAUCGUCUACGUAUGCCUCUACUGUUUUGCCUAUCUGGGUAGCCAGACAUGUCUGAAUCAUGUGCUGAUAUGUUGCGCCGGCGUUUUUGAGUCCGAAGGGCAUUGUGUUGAAGCAGAAUGGCCCAUAUGGAGUAAUGAAUGCCAUUGCGGCCUGGUCUUUUUCCGCCAUCUUGAUUUGAUGGUAUCCGGAGUAUGCAUCGAGGAAGCACAAUGAAUCGUGCCAUGCGGUAGCAUCGAUGAUUUGGUCGAUGCGAGGGAGAGGGAAAGGGUCCUUUGGACAGGCCUUGUUAAGGUCUUUGAAAUCGACGCAGAGGCGCCAGGAUUUGUCCUUUUUUGGUACCAUUACGAGGUUUGAUAUCUCUGAUGAAUCCGGCUUCUAAGAGUUUGGCUAGCUCCUCUCCCAUUGCCUGUCUUUUGGGUUCGGAAAAUCGCUGAAGAGCUUGUUUGACUGGCUUGAAUCCUUUUAGGAUAUUUAGGCUGUGCUCUGCCAGCCUGCGUGGGAUUCCUGGCAUGUCUGAAGGGUGCCAGGCAAAAAUGUCCCAAUUUUCCCGAAGGAAUUCUCGUAGUGCGGCUUCUACAUCAGGAUUUAAUUGUGCCCCAAUGGAUGCCGUCUUUGUGGGGUCCGUUGGAUGGACCUGAAAUUUGACUAUUUCGUCUGCUGGUUUAAAAGAGGUGGACUUGGACCUUUUAUCGAGUAUCACAUCGUCCCUAUCCACCGUGGAGCACAGCGCAGUUAAUUCCUCUGCCGCUAGGGCUUCGGAUAAUGCCUCUAGGGCCAGUGCGGCUGUCUUAUUUUCAGCGCGGAGUGUUGUAUCUGGAUCACUGGCGAGAGUGAUUAUUCCAUUGGGUCCGGGCAUUUUGAGCUUCAUGUACCCGUAAUGGGGUAUAGCUUGGAAGAUUGUGAAUGCCUCUCGCCCUAACAAAGCGUGAUAUCCGCUGCCGAAUGGGGCCACUUGGAACGUGACCUCUUCGGACCUAUAAUUGUCCGGUGAGCCGAACACUACAUCUAGUGUGAUUUUUCCUGUGCAGCGUACUUCUCGACUAGGAAUUAUUCCCCUGAAGGUUGUGCUACUUCGCUCAAUGCGGCUCCAGUCAAUUUCUAUUUUUUGAAGGGUUUCCUCAUAGAUGAGGUUUAAUCCGCUGCCGCCAUCCAUGAGUACCUUGGUAAGACGAAAGCCGUCCACUAUCGGACUGAGGACCAAUGCGGCUUGUGCUCUAGCUGUUCGGAAUUUAGGUUCGUCGCUGGCAUUGAAGGUGAUAGCCGUGUCGCUCCAUGUAUUUGUUGUUGCUACUUGGUAGACUUCGGCGAGACUGCGGAUUGUUCGUUUCCGCAUGUUAUUUGAUGCGAAAGUCUCGAAGACUGUUAAUACCGUACUGGUGCUGCUGGGCUGGUUGCCCGGGGCUAAAAAGCCUUCGCCACUUUUGGCCACUUGCCGUAAUAUCCAACAUGCUCGAAGGCUAUGUGUUGGAGUGGCGUCCUCCGCACUGUGGAUUUUGCAGGGUCCGUUGAGCCAUCCCUCCAGUACGGUUCCGUACCCUUUAUGGGGUUUUUGCUUUUUGGUUUUUAACCCAGGUGCUUGAGUAUGACGCACCCUUUUAUUUCGGACUGGGAUUGUAUUCAGGGCCGGAUUGUCCCAAAACCUAGUUUCGGUUUUCCAGGCACUUUCCAUCGCGUAGUAUUUUUGUACAAUGGUCGCUAGGUCGGCGAAGCGUGUAACUUCGCGACGACUGAUGGCGUUUAUGAUUCCCUUGUCCGUGCAAUUGUUGCAGAAGAUUGAAAUCGCGCUUUCUUCACGGCAGUCCUUUAUCCUGUCCAUAACCAGGAGGAAUCUGGCCCAGUAAUGAUGUACUGUUUCAUCGGGCUCUUGACGUAUUUGAGAUAGAUCGCUUAUGUUUGGGUGGGCGGGUGGAAUCAAGUUCGGAAACCCGCCCAAUCUGAGGCUCAAAGGCCAAGAAACUUCUGGAUUCGGAAGCUUGGUUUGCUGGACGCUUUCCAACAAAUCUGGUCCGAUGCCUGACUUUAGGUUCAGUAUUUGAUUAGCGUCCGUCCCUCCGCGGGAAUCCGGCAUGGAGGGAUCGGGAAUCUGGACAUAGUUGGUUUUUAACAUAGAAGAAGAGUCGCCGCAUUGUUCCUCUACCACAACAACGUGGUGGGUAACCUGGGGAGAGUUGAUUUCUCUCAGAUCGGUUUUAAGCCCAAUCUGAUCGUAGUCGGUAGCGACUCCCAGGGCGGCGAUGCGAUCCAAGAGCUCAUUUACGGAGGAGAGCUCAAUCGGAUCUAGCUGCUCGGCAAAUUCCGAGCUGACGUGAAGAUCUCUUUUAAUGACCUGAGAGGUCAUUGUCGGAGCGAUGGCCGAACAGGCGGUCAUAAGAAAACCACCUAGCCGGAUAGUCUGGCCGGCGGCCAAAGCUCCCUUGACGACGGUGCCGUCUUUGAAGACGGGAAAAGGCAUCCUUCCUGAUGGUGACGGCACAGAGGAACUCUCAAUGAAAGCACCAAUGUCGGUGUCAAAACCGGCGGAUCUCGGGUAGGGAGUCCCGAACUGUGCGUCUAGGCGGAUGGUAACAGGAGACAAGGGACACGAUGUUUUACCCAGGUUCGGGCCCUCUUAAUGGAGGUAAAACCCUACGUCCUGCUUGAUUAAUAUUGAUGAUGUGUGUUACAAGAGUGGAUCUACCACGAGAUCAAGGAGGCUAAACCCUAGAAGCUAGCCUAUAGUAUGAUUGUUGUUCGUCCUAUGGACUAAAGCCAUCCGGUUUAUAUAGACACCGGAGAGGGCUAGGGUUACACAAAGUCGUUUACAAUGGUAGGAGAUCUACAUAUCCGUAUCGCCAAGCUUGCCUUCCACGCCAAGGAAAGUCCCAUCCGGACACGGGACGAAGUCUUCAAUCUUGUAUCUUCAUAGUCUUGGAGUCCGGCCGAUGAUGAUAGUCCGGCUAUCCGGACACCCCCUAGUCCGGGACUCCCUCAGUGAGCCUUCUCAUGAAGCUUUCCUUUGAUACAAGCACUGCAAGCAUGAUCUUUGGCAAAACUAACAUUUGUUAGUCCACGGACAUGGUCCCCCUUGAGAAGACUUUGCAAAGAUCUCAUAUUGACGUGGGCUAAACGGUGAUGCCAAAGCCAUCCCACAUCAACUUCAGCCAUUAGGCAUGUCGCGGUCUUAGUGGGUCGCUCCGAAAAGUUUAUCACAUAAAGACCGUUCUCGACAUGCCCAACAAAGGCUACUUUAAGAGUCUUGCUCCACAAGAGGGCCGCGGUAUCAAUAUCAAAGAAAGUGGCAAAGCCCAUGAGUGCAAGUUGACGAACGGAAAGUAGAUUGAAAGCAAGGGACUCAACAAGCAUGACUUUCUCGAUCGUUAGAUCAUGAGAAAUGACAACCUUGCCAAGACCCAAUACCUUAGAAGACGAGGCAUCACCCCACUCGACGUUGGUGGGCAUAGAAGGAAUCUUGUUCACAUCCACCACCAAGUCCUUGCUUCCGGUCAUAUGAUUCGUUGCUCCACUAUCGAGCAACCAUGAUCCCCCACCGGAAGCAAACACCUACAAGAGAUCAAUGCUUGGUUUUAGGUACCCAUUUUGUAAUGGGUCCUUUGAUGUUAGUAACAAGGGUAUUAGGAACCCAAAUAGACCAUUCAAUGUACUCAUAAAGAGAACCAAAAUUUUUAGCAUAAACAUGCCCAUCACUAGCACGGCACAACACAUAAGAAGGGUUAAAGUCGCCGACUUUAUUGGAAGGGGUGGCAUCGCCCUUUUUGACAUCACCACCCUUCACCUUGUUCUUCUUCUCCUUAGGAGCACCCUCUCUCUCCUUCACAAAAGUUUGCUUGAGAGGAGGAGGUCGUUUGGCCUUGUCGUUCUUCUUCUUGUUCUUGGACUUGGGUGUGAACCCAACUCCUUCCAUGGCCAGAACUUCCUUUUGAUUGCUCAAAAGGUCAUUGAGGUUCUUCUCACCUUGUAUGCAUGUAACAAGGCCUUUCUCAAGUUGCUCCUUCAACUUGGCAUUUUCCUCCACAAGAUGCACAUGCUCACAACAUGGGUUAGCGGCAUUUGCAUCAUCAAUUAAUACCAUAUGAGGAAAGGUGGGUUUUUCUUUAGUUAGCUUCACUUGGAGUUGAUCAUGAGACUCCUUGAGGCUACCAUGAGCACUCUUCAAGACCUUGUGGGCCUUGUCGAGUAUAUCAAACUCCUCUUUGAGUCUAGCAUGGUCAACGCCAAGUUUAGCCUUCUCGGAAGUUAGCACACGAGAUACAACAAGAGCAUGAUCAAGAUCUUUCUUUAACUUAGCAUGGUCAUCGUUGUGUGACUCCUCAAGAGCCAAACGAUGCCCACGCUCUUCCUCAAGAGCAUUAGAGAGAUCCGAUAUCUCAUCAGCAUAGUCACGACUAUGACCUUCCAUCUUAGAGAUGGUUUCUUCAUGAGCCUCAAUCAUGUCAUUAGCUUCACCAAGUUGUUCCAAUAGAGCAACAGAGUGCUUCCUGGAUUUGCCCUUGAGCUUACUCAUAAAAGACUCAAAUUCAUUUACUUCCUCAUUAGACCCCUCACUUUCAUCAAUGCCAUCCGUCAAGGAAGGAUUAGAAAUGAUGGUGGUUUUGAUGUUGGCGGUUACCUUGUUGGUGGCUUUAGCCAUGAGACACUUGGCGAUGAUGUUCUCAUUGGGUGAGUCGAAGAGGGACACCCAUGGAGUUGUGGCAAAGGCAACAGAGGCCAUGGCCAUGGCUUAACUAUCUUCAUCAUCAUCGUCAUCCUCAUGGUAUUCUUCUUGAACCACCAACCCUUGAGUAGGAGUCUUUUUGGUGAAUUUGUUCUUGUUGGGGAAGGACUUGGCUUUGUCCUUUCGAAUGAGCUUGCCACCAUUGUCUUCCCGCUUCUCGUAAGGGCAAUCCACAACAAAAUGGCUCACAUUACCACAAUUGUAACAUGUUCUCACACGUUGCUUGCCCUUGAACCCACUUGACUUGUUCGUGUUGAAGUUGGGCCUUGUGUUCUUCUUGCUCCAAAAUUGCCUUGAAGCAAGAGCCAUGUGCUCAUGAUAAUCAUAUUUUGUAUCUUCGGGGUUGCUCUCCUCAUCUUCCUCUUCUUCCUCUUCUUCCACAAUAACCUUGGCCUUCAAGGCAAGGUUGGGCUUCUUUACCCGUUGAGAGCGCAACACCAUGUUGUCGACGGCCUUGUCCAAGAUCCUCAUUGCCACAAACUCAUCCAACACUUCAUUUGAGGUCAAGGAGUGGAAGUCCGGUCUCUGACGGAUGAUGGAGGACAAGGCCUUGUGGUAAGGCAUCAUUGCUUUAAGAAACUUGCGCUUGAUCCAAUUGUCAUCCGUGUCCUUGCUCCCAUGAUCUCGGAGUGAGACCGCAAGUUUGGUAACUCUCCGGAAGAGCUCACGAGGUUCUUCAUCUUCUUUCAUUGCAAACUCAUCGGCUUCAUCUUGCACCACUUCGUAAUUGGAGCGUUGAAUGCUUGCACUUCCCUUAUAGAGGGAAACAACGCAAUGCCAUGCGUCUUUGGCCAUGGCGAAGGGUCGAAGAUGAGGGAGAUCUUCGGGAAGAACUGCAUCUUGAAUGAUGAAGAGAGCAUUCUCAUUGAAUUGAUGGUCCACGGCUUCUCUAGGGGUGAGGUUGCUUCGGUCAUGUGGAUGAAAACCUUCUUCAAUGAUUCUCCAAAGGUUAGUAUUCACAUGAUUUAAAUGACGCUUGAAGCGAUACACCAAGAAUCAAAGUCCUCAUUUUUCACAAUCUUAGGAGGAGGCCCGGCAUGAUUUAAAUGAGUAGAAGGAAUCAGUCCUCCAUAGACUGGAGGCGCCACAUGGGCAAAAAUGCCGGUGCCAUUUCUACCACUAGUAGAAGGAUCCUUUUCACUAGUAGCUUCCCCCUUAUCGGAGUUAGCAUCCGUCACCUUGUCAAUGGGAUCACCCACUUUCAACAGCCAGGUAGAUAGUUUAAGUCCUUCUAAGAAUUUAUUAAACAUGCUGUCAACCUCGGUUUUCAUGGAAGUUUUCAAUGUGUCCAAAGCCACAUUGAAUUCCUCACGUGACACCGUGGUUCCCCCUUCACCCGUAGACGAGAUCGGAUUCACACCGGAGUGCUCCUCCCUACUGUCUACGGUGUCAACCAUACUCUUCGGACGACAAAGUCCUUAAUAAAGAGACGAGGCUCUGAUACCAAUUGAAAGGAUCGAUAUAGUUGACUAGAGAGGGGGGGGGGGUGAAUAGGCAACUAACAAUUUUUAGCUUUUCUUUACCAAAUUAAACUUUGCAUCAAAGUAGGUUGUCUAGAUAUGCAACUAGGUGAACAACCUAUAUGAUGCAACAAUAACAAGCACACAAGCAAGCAAGAGAUAUAACACAAGUAAGCUUGCAAAAGUAAAGGCACGAGAUAACCAAGAGUGGAGCCGGUGAAGACGAGGAUGUGUUACCAAAGUUCCUUCCUUUUGAGGGGAAGUACGUCUCCGUUAGAGCGGUGUGGAGGCACAAUGCUCCCCAAGAAGCCACUAGGGCCACCGUAUUCUCCUCACGCCCUCACACAAUGCGAGAUGUCAUGAUUUCACUAUUGACGCCCUUGAAGGUGGCGACCGAACCUUUACAAACAAGGUUGGGGCAAUCUCCACAACUUAAUUGGAGGCUCCCAACGACACCACGAAGCUUCACCACAAUGGACUAUGGCUCCAAGGUGACCUCAACCAUCUAGGGUGCUCAAACACCCAAGAGUACCAAAAUCCGCUAGGGAUUAGUGGGGGGAAUCAAAUUUCUCUUGGUGGAAGUGUAGAUCGGGGCCUUCUCAACCAAUCCCGAUCAAAUCAACAAGUUUGAUUGGCUAGGGAGAGAGAUCGGGCGAAAAUGGAGCUUGGAGCAACAAUGGAGCUUAGGGAUAGAAGAGGUGGCCAACUAGAGGAAGAAGACACCCCUUAUAUAGUGGAGAGACAAAUCCAACUGUUAUCCACUUACUUAGCCCGCGACCUGCGGUACUACCGCUCCAGACAAGCGGUACUACCGCAGGGGCUCACGGUACUACCGCAGGGGCUCACGGUACUACCGCUGCAACGACAGGGGCUAGUCCAGGCCAGAGCCGCCAAGACUGAGAGCGGAACUGCCGCUGACGUGGUACUACCGCUUCCCCUUGCGGUACUACCGCAAGGCCAGAAUGGACUAGACUGGGAAGGGCACAGAUGAAUAAAAAUACAUCCGUGCCUACUUCCGCUGAAAAUCAAACAGUGUAAAAAUCUGACACGAUACUACUGCGCCUGGCAUGCGGUACUACCAUGCAGGGAGCGGAUGUAAAAAAUUACAUCCGCCCCUACUUCCGCUCGUGCUACUGAGCCAGACCAGGACUCACGGUACUAUCGCGUGCAUGGGGCGGUACUACCGCGUAGGGCGCGGAUGUAAAAAAUUACAUCCGCCCCUACAGCCGCACGAGAGGCUGAGUCUGGCCUGAGGCCACGGUACUACAACUCCAUAGGAGCGGUACUACCGUGUUCGCCUACGGUACUACCGCAGGGGCCUGCGGUACUACCGCUCCUAGGAGCAGUUCUACCGCAUGCCUCAGAAUAGCAACACUAGGAAUCCUUCUUUUUGCACAACAAUGAAGAUAACGGAGGAUGCUCCAAAGAGCAAAGGGAAAGGUGGUGCAAACGGAGAAAACGUGUACGUGAUGAUUCCACCGAACUUUUCCACCGCGGACCCCCUCUUAAUAGAACGACUACCCUACGACUCAAAUCCACCAAAAGAGACGUUGAACACCGCCGCCUUCAAUGUCUUCGAGGGGUACCAAACCGUCUUGUGCCUAGCGACGAAGUGACUGAAAUACUCAAGGCACACGAUUAGUCCGCAAAAGCAUUGUCAUCAAUCACCAAAAUACCUUAGGGAUAAAAAUGCCCUUACACUUACGAUCUCGUCUGCCGCAUGCAAUGGCCACCUUGCCUGCAGCUGAGCAACCACUUGAUAAAACUUGGUUACGCUGGUCUAGAUGGCAUGCAAGCGAUACGAUAACGACCUCACAUUGUGUUGUUGACUGAUGUAACUGUCGUAGGGCGCAGUGCUUUCGUGCGCGAAAUAAUUCAUGCACCUGCUGCCAGAAGGUCCCCCUCAGCUUCUGCUUACGAAAUCUGCAGAUACGGCCAACCACACAUUGCAUAAUAACUCAUACUCCAUUGUUGAGUAGCUCACCAUCAUUCAUACACUAAAAAACAACAUAGCGUUUGAAUAUAAGCUCAAUGGCAUUUGACCAAACACCUGUAGCCCGUGCUGUCCACCAUGGAGGUCGCCGACGGGGAGGGGGGAAGUGUACCUGGGUACAAACGGCUCUUGGGUGGACAACGGCAUCGUAAAGGCGAGGACGCGUCACCGACAAUGCCUCUAUGGCGGCCAGAGACAUACAACAGUGGCGGGGGAGGUGGAGGUUGUGGAUGCAAGCAAGGAGGAGAAGGACAUAGUGGAAGGAAAUGAGACCGAGAGGGGGGGGGUUGGGUGGGCUUGGGGUGUCGAAGUCCUGCAUGGCUGCUGUUCGGACUCCCGCAACCCCCCAACUUUGUCACCAACUUGCGGGAGAAAACACGUCCAGACUGCACCGCAGACCGAUACAGUCACGCGUUGGAUGGCUUCUGCGGCCCGGUCGUAUGUGAGCGGUUAGAGGGUCGCCAUCGGAGAUGCCCUAAGGGCUGUAAUGCACCCGAUGAAUUACUGCACAACCUUCAGAUUUUUUGUGUGUGGCCAUCUUUAGGAUCGCUUUGACCUUCUCCGGGUGGCCUCAAUCUCGCAUACAGAAAUGAUGAAACCGAGGAGAUUCUGCAGGUAAUCUGAUUAUACAUUUCUCUUGGUCAAGCUUCGAGUUGAUCUGCGUGAGGUCUGUGAAGGUUUUCCCCAGAUCCGCCAGGAGAUCAUCCCCGCACUUGGACUUUAUCACGAUGUCGUUGACAAAGGUGUGGAAGUUUCUGCCGCCCCACUAGUGUCAACAUUUUUUAAUACACCAUUGGUAAGUCGCACCAACAUUUUUUAGGUCAAAUGCAUGAAAAUUAGGAGAAAGUUUCAUAGGAGAUGAUGAAGGAGUCUUGAUAUCAUCUGAAUACUUCAUUUUUAUCUAAUGAUAGCCUGAAUAUACGCCCAAAAUACGCGAAUGCUCGCAACCGGCCAUGGAAUUGAUCACUUGGUCGAUAUGUGGCAGCACGAAUGAAUCCUUGGGGCAUGCCUUGUUUCAGUGGCGGAUCCAGGAUUUGAAGUUACACGGGGCAAACUUUUAAAGGAAAAAAAAACUCAAAGCUACAAUGCAAAUCAUAUGCUCAACAAAAAUUAAUUGUUCAAAGUAGUUUAAUGCUCAAGAACUAAACGAAAAUGUAUACACAUAUAAUGCAAAAAAUCAUACAAAAUCUGACUUGGACUCCCGUUCUGAAAUGGUUGAAUUUACUUCACAUUGGCAAACUCAGGGUCUAAGCUAAUUCAACGGGAUAUCUCUACAAACAUAAUCAAUCUGCUUGAUCCUCCUAUGUCCCAAUAACAUCAAAAUGGUAAUUAAUUUUCAGUAUUCAAUUUAGAAACAUUAGGCCAAUAUGACAAAAAAAUUAAGAAUGAUAUAUAUAGAACAUAAGAGGAGAAGAUUAGGGAAGAGUGGACGAACCUGUUGGCUACCCGCUUGCAGGUGCACUUUUGAGUGGGGAGCGCGUGGCGUUAGCGAUGACCACGCUGCCUCCCUUGCAGAAGACACCGGGAACAAGUGGACUCCCUUCUCCUUCUUCAUCCAACACCAUCUGUUGGACGGACCUGGAUAGCGCCUCGGCGAGGCGGCAGUGGAGGGCGCCGCGUCAAGGCGGCGAGGCGGCAAGACAGGGCGUGAUCGCGUGAUACUGCUCAGUUCCACAAUCAAUCGAUGGAAUAGGUCAGGCUGCGUACAAAAAAUAUUGGGCUCAUCUAAUCUUUCACUGGGCCUUACUUGACUGGCCCAUCUCCGAGCGAAUCGCUACCUGGCCUAUCUCGUGCAGAAUCCCUCUGCUCAAAAAAAAAAAUCUCGUGCAGAAUCGUUUUCUUUCCUGUUCUCUCGUCAUGCUCGACUUCACCUCGCACCUCCGACCGAAUCAGCAGCAGGGUUACCUAGAUUCCCAAAAAUUUACCCGGGGCGGCCGCCCCCACACGACCCCACGCUGGCGCCGCCCCUGCCUUGUUUAGGGGUUGGUAGUCAACACACAUGCGCCAAGUGUGGUUCAUUUUGGGAUAUACAAUGACUAAGGAGGCCAUGGAUUGAGAGAACGAUCAAGAAAGAUGAUGAACAGAGGAUUGAUAGGGUGAAAUAACUAGAUAGGCAUGGGGUGGCCAGCAUGGGCAAGGACCCUCCCCAACAUGAUCAGUUUGCUUGUACACUUAAGUACUAUCAAUUUUUUGUAUUUCCUUCAAUGCACCUCCCUCAACACUAGGACUUGAGAAAAUCCCACCUCGGCCACUUGAAAGAACACUAGAGGAAGAGAAAUCAAUUAUGAGAGAAGGGAUAAGAACAAACGAGGGGGAGUAGUGGUGGAUCUCAGAGACAGACGAAGGAUCAAAUUGGAAGAGGGAGGGGAUCAACGGGGAGGGAAGAGUUGGCACCACGUCGGCCGUGGGACUAUCGCCAGAAGUCACCUCAAACACAGUCAAUUCGGACACGUACCCUCGUUGUUCUAGCUGGGCAAUUAGUUGGACCUCAAGUUUUUUUAUUUGAAACAAGUUGGACCUUAAGUUGAUGUUAACAAAAUGAAAACAUUGCAAAUGUCUUUUGCACCAACAUAUUUUUCCCUCCCUCUUUACACAAACCCACAACCUCCCCAGUGCGUCUCUCUAACGGUUCCAAAGACGCACAGAGAGGGCACCUCCAAUCCCGCCUCAGCCGUCGGCGAGUCCGCGGGCUCCUUCCUCCUCCGUUUGCCUCGGCAACGGCUAGAUGGAGGAGCCCCGGUUCUCCGCCUUAGGUGUGUAGAUAGGUUUAGGGUAGGUUGGUCCUCCUGCGUCACUUCAAUGGUGUUAGCGGCACUGUGUCGAAUAAGAUUUCCCGAGUCCUGGCAUCAUCUCGGCGGCGUCCUUCAUGACAGUGUUGAGAGGCUCGUGGAUCUGUGUAUUCGUUGUUCCUUUCGAUCAGCGAGUCUAGCGUCUCCAUGCGGCUGCAUCGGGGCAACGACUGCAAUGCAAGGUAUUGUGUGUAGCGUGGCGCUGUUUUUGAUGGUGACUGCGGCAUUGCAUCCAAGGAUAAUGCCCAAACUCUAGUCCCUUCUCGAUGUCGUCAAUGGCGGCAUCGAGGAGCGGGUGGGCUCAGUCUCCCGUUGAUCCUUCUGGAAGGCGGUUUUAAGUCCAUGGCCGGUGGUUGUCAUCCCUGGUGACAUCACCGAUGACUUUGAGAGGAUGGUGGUUCUGGAUCUUGACUUGCGGCUGAUCUGGUGCUCGGCCUCGACGACAUCGACGGCUGACAGUAACUCCGGAAUUCGAGGAGGACGGGGAAGAUCCCCGCCCGACACGCCACAAUGAUAAAAGGCCUGGUCCUUCGAAGACUUCUUCAUCGGCUCACAACGCCCUUCUUGGCUAUGGUUCUCCUCUGAAUUCUACGACGAUGUCGAUGGUGACGACAGUUGCCGGAAUUCCUAUGGUCUUCAAUGUGAUUUUAUUUUCUUGGAGGGGUUUUGCGCAAAGUUGUGGGAGCACAUAUUUUCUCUCGGACUUUCUGAUCGGUUCCUGUGUGCUUUUGUAUUCACUAUGUUUGUGAUUAAUGAACCACGCGAUAAUCCUAAAAAAACAUAUAUUUUUUAGAUAAAACACGACACACAACCUAACACGACCAAAUGGGCCGGAUAGCCCGUGUGCCCGCACCGUGGUCUGCACGGAACCGCCUCUGCAACGGUAAUCUUCGCACCGCACCGCGUUGCCGACCGACCGACCGACCCCUCGCCCUGCCCACCCGGUCCGCAUCAAGACCCAACCCACCACCACCAGCUCCACUCCCCUCCUGUUUCCGCCGCCCGCCCAAGCCGCCUCCGGCAAGGACCUGGCCGGCGCCACCGCCCCUUCCCCGGCGGCCCGCCCACGGCCAGGCGCGCCUUGUCCUCCCUCCCUGCGCUCUGGCCAUGGCCCGCCGGUGUGCUCCUCCUCCCUUCGUCCGGGGCCCCGGGUCGUGCCUCCCGCCUCGCCUCGCCUCCUCGCGCCUGGUUUGGAUUCGCUCGUCCUCGAUUCGCCGCCCGUUUAGGUUUAGAACCACGCAAGAUUUGGUUUCUGCUCGUGCUCAAUUCGUCCGUUUGGGAUUGCGCCUGGUUUGAUUUUGCUCGCCGUCGCCCGUUUGGGGUCUCGUCCGGUUCGAUUUUGCUUGUCGCCUUCGUCCGUUUAGAGUUGCCGUCCGGUUCGAUUUUGCUCGUCGCCGUCAUCCGUGUGGAAUCGCGUACGCUUCGAUUUUGCUCGUCCUCGCCGUCGUCUGUGGAGUAGCGUCCGAUUCGAUUUUGCUCGUCUUCGUCGUCGUCCGUGUCGAGUCGCGUCCGGUUCGAUUUCGCUCGUCCUCGCCGUUGUCCCGAUGCGCUCGCGUGGUCCGUCUCGCCUCGUCGGGGGUGGAUUACGGCCGGAGACGGGGAGCGAUGUUCGUUUAUCGUGCUAGUUCAGACCGGUUCCUCGGUUACGUCACCUGCGUUGCUCUCUUGUGAUACUCUGUCAAUUCUUGGUCCUCUGUCAGUUCUUGUUGGCCCUCUGUCAAUUCUUGAGUUCUUGUUGUACCGGUUAGGCCUUUGGCGUGUGUGCUCUCAUCUUAGAUGGGGUGAUUCCUUAGUUCUGAUGGUGUAGACUGUUUAUGUUCUUUCCAAUUUGUUUCUUUUUUAUCAUGCUUUGCUUUGUUUUGCCUGCUGCUGAACUAAUUGAACACCUGCUGCUGCUACUGUUGGACAAAGGUUCCUUCUUUUCUUCCUGAUGUUGCUAUUUUACUCAUAGGAGUUCUAGAUGAGCUGCUGCUAGUUAAUUCCCCUUAGACUACAUUCUAGAUUGAAUAGCAUAACUCAAGAAUUUUGUCAUUGCACACAUGGGCAUAUAUAUAUUUCUGUUGUGAGCAUAACUCCAAAACUUAUUUAUCCAUGAAAGCACGUUCAUCUCAUGUUUAUGCGCAUGUUUUUUUUUUGUCCAUGAAUUCUGUCGUGUCCCUUUCCUUUGGACAAAAAUUUCAACAAACCUAUAACGUGGACAUGUGCUGCUUGUUUUCAUGUGAUGAUGGUGAUCUAGUUGACUAGCCCAACUCUUAUGCUCUGACAUUUGUUAAUCCCCAGUUAGUGUGCUUGAAAAAUUAUUGCUUGUCAUGUUAAAUUUUAUGGCAUCAACUCGGUAUUGUGAUUAGUGACCUAGUACUCUGUAUUUGUUUAGUGUAGACAGCUAACUUCUUUUUUCUUAUUUUUUUAGUGAUAUGCGUGUUCUGCUAUGUCUUAUGUUGAUAGUAUAUUCUUUAUUAUUAUUAUUCAUGUCCAGUCACUGGAAUAAUGCUUUUCUUGAUUUUCCUAGACUUUGUGACAAUUAAUUUAUAGUGCGAUCAUUGAGUUUCUGACAUCCUAUUGCAUAAAAUUCUGUUGUAAUGUUUGUUGGAUCAUUGAGUAGUUAAUAUUGAUUCUGAGCUUGUUGGAUCAUUGAACUUCUGCGUGCGCUUCUGUUAUCUGAGGGACACUCAUGAUCCCGCAUUUCGUGUGUGCGGCGGAGCGAUGAACGAUUACGUUUUGCGUUCCUGCGUUUUGUGUUCGCCGUCUGGUUUUGAAUUUGGAUUACGGAGACGGGGAGAGGCCUGAGUAAGGUCAGUUUCAGAUCGGUUCCGUCGCUGCGUUGAUCGUCGGCGAUUUCCAGACCUCAAACGCAUGCGCCCUUGUGAUACUCUAAUUUGGCUCGUGGUCGUUACGGUUGUUCUUACGUUCUUGAAUAACCCCAUCUUAUUCGCAGAGAUGGUGUGAUUCGUUAUGGUUCUUCUGAUGGUUGCUUAUGUUCUUUCGAAUUGGGUUCUUCUUGUAAUGCUUUGCCUAUGUUCCCAAUGUCUGUCUUUCUAAUUGGCUGCUUAUGUUCUUUCGAAUUGGGUUCUUCUUACGGGGAUGCGUUCAGAGGUGCAAACCAUGUAGGCCGUGGUGUGUUUAUACUAUCUAUGGUGUGUUCUACACUAUCUGAUGUGGAACGUAGAAAUAUUGAUAUCACUUCUGUGCUAGUAUACUAGAUAUGGUGUGUUUCAUCCAAGUUAACCACAUCUCUUACAAAUUUUCCUUGGAGUGAUUGAUGUCUUGAUGAAUAUAAUCAUUUAUGCUAACUUGGUAUUGGUAGUUCCUGAGGUAACACACCAGUACUUGUUUAGUGCAGACAAUUGACUAUUCUUUUUUCUGAACUUUUUUGUGAUAUGUGUGUUAUGUGGAUACCAUAUUCUAAUGCUUUUCUAAGUAUUCAAGGUACAGACUUGUGGAUCUGGACAUGUCAAAUUUGCUCUUUAUUGGGUUGCUAAGGACACUGAACAGUUUGGCUGGGCCACUGCACGGCCUGGCUAAUCAGGUUCACUUGAUUUUAUGUGUAGUUGAUGUUCUCUGCCACAUCAUGCUCAAUUUGUGCUUCCCAAAUGGAUCUCCUGGAACAAAUUGUUCAUAACAAAUGAACAAAUUGCAGAACUUGUGGCUAUGCUAUUUACCCACUUGCUUUUGCACAUAAUGUUAAGAAGAAGAGAAACAUAUGCCCUGUUAUUUUAAAAUGCUGUAUUUACUGUUUUGAUGCGCAUAAACUGAGAAUAGUCACCAUAUACUGCAGGAAGUGUUGCUAUGAAUCAAAUCUAUAAUGAAACAGACUGGGAGUAACAUCACAACCGACCAACUUAAAGAAUAUGUAUGGAAGACACUGGAGAGUGGAAAGGUAGCUUAUCUCAAAUCAAGUUAUAUCUAUUCAAUUAUCAAGCACUAAUUAUUGCUCAAGGACUAUAGUUUUAUAAAUACCUCGUGAUCUUGUUUGCGAGUAGAGAAAAUAAUGCAAUAUAGGGAAUUACAGUUGCCACUCAUUUUAUGCUCACAUGGGUUGCAUUGUAGAAACCUAAAUAUCUAUGUAUACCUUCGUGCAUCAUGUCCCUCUUAUGCACCGCAUUUCAGAAAUCUAAAUAUCUAUGUCUUCUUUUGUGUUACUGUUUGGUAGUUCCUGUUGAAGUUGCAAUUUAUAAUGUCUUGUGGGAUUAAACUUUGUUAAGCUGCUGAAAACAGACACCGAAAUUAGCCAUUAAUGAUCAGUAUGAUUUCUAUUUAUUGCAAUCAUGUCAAAAGGUCUUAGCUAUUCAUAUUUCUAGGUAUUAGCUACCAUCAAAGUAAACAAAGAAUAAGUGUGCUCAUUUUAAUUUUAUAAUCCCUCCCCAGACCCCACCUUGUGUGGGACUUCUAUGCACUGGGUCUGUCCUUUACCUAGUAUUGAAAGAUUAUGUAGACCGAAAUUGGUUAGUGUAUACCUGUGUAGAAAAAUGUGCAAAGAAUGCCUGCAUCAUGCUUGUCAUCUUGUGGAAGAAAUCAUCCAGUGAAUUUACUGAUGUCUGGUUGCAUCCAUAGGUUGUUCCUGGCUAUGGUCAUGGAGUUCUACGUAAUACAGACCCAAGAUACUCGUGCCAAAGGGGGUUUACAUUGAAAUAUUUACCCGACCCAAGAUACUCAUGCCGAAGGGAGUUCACAUUGAAAUAUUUACCCGAGGACCCACUUUUCCAACUGGUUAGUUAGAAUCCUUCAUCUAACUGUAUGGUUUCUCUUCGGUUCGACAGUCUCAGUGGAACAUAUAUUAUUCCCUUUCAGGAAUGAAGAUCUGAAUCACCCUCACCCCUCUAGAGAAAUCAAUUUACUCAUUCAAGUUCUAGAAUUUCCUUAUAAUUUUCUGGGUUUACUUCAAUUUUGCAUGUAUUAGCUUUCUCUUUGUGCCCCUAUCUAUCCUUGUUUCUUGUGUGCAAGCGCUUCAUUCUGUGUGUGUGACUGUGUGUGGCUUGACUUUAUGUGUGUGGCUUGAUUAUGUGUGUGGCUUAAUUGUGUGUGUGGCUUGACUGUGUGUAUGGGCUUGACUGUGUGUGUGAGAUUGUGUGUGGCUUGAUGGUGAAUAUGUGUGUGGCUUGACUGUGUGUGUGUGGCUUGACUACGUGUGUGACUGUGUGUGAAUAUUGCAUUUGCUUGACGGUGUGGUUUGUAUAAGUUGUGUUUUAUAUGUCAGGAUUGAUUGUUGUUUGUUGAAUUUGAACAGAUCCAACACUAUUCUUUUUUCUGAACUUUUUUGUGAUUAUGUCUUAUGUGGAUACCAUACUCUUUUUUGUAUUAUUGUUGUCCAGUCACUGGAAUAACACUUUUCUAAGUAUUUAAGGUACAGCCAUGUAGAUCUAGACAUGAUGCUAAUGGGUUGGGUUUGCAUAUAAUGCAGGUAUAUUUACGUUCUUUACAUUUUGCGACAGUCCCAAAACUUUUAUUUAGCCAAAUUUUGCUACUUCUGUUUUUAGAUGCGCUGUAUCCAUAACUACCUAUUGGCACCUGAUAUUUGUGCUCAAAAUGCAGUAUGGACCAACAAAAUGGUCUCAUUGCAAGGUGGACACACUGGUUAUGUGAAGAACUGAUUGGUAAAUAUGAAGCUGAUUUUGAAUUCAUACAUACAGAGAGAAGCUUGGACUAUUGAGGAGGAACAUGCACUGAUUAAUGCCCAUAGGGUAUAUGGGAAUAGAUGGGAAGAAAUAGCAAAAGUUUUUCCUAGAAGGUACCGUCAAACAACUUGCAUCUUAUUGGGAUAAUGUAGCCUAGCCUUGGCCCUCUUUGUUACCAGAUUCCUAGCCCCUGUCACUUCCUCAUUCUUUCCUGCACAUCAUAACGUGUACCACACAUUUGAACAUUGCAGGAAUCGGGUACUUCUAUUUGUUCUUAGGUUCUUCUCACCUAUAGCUAAAGUCAAAGACGACAAAACCAAGUGGAUUAUUGGAGUUACAAGAUACACAAAAUCAUCGGUAAGUUUCUAUCCUUUCAAAUGGCCGGAUUAUGAAUUUUGAUCAGUUUGCCUGACUUGUUUUAAACUGAAUCCUUGAUUCCUUGAUAACUUUGAUCAUAAACUGAUUCCCAAAUAUUUUUGACUCAUAUGAUGCUUAUUACAUCACAGGUCAUCUAAAUCUUCUUUUCUAAUAUGACUGUUGGUGCUGCUCAUGAGGUAAGCUACUUUUCUUGCUUUCAAGAAUAAAUCAUUUACAUUGUGGUCACUCACAUUUUAAGUUGCUCAUGCCAUUUCAGGCUAGCCACCGGCUUGGAAGGGAUGAGAGGCAAUCACUGUUGUCAACUUGAAACGUAUAAUUUUUUAGGUAUGAAUGGCUUACCUUAGCCAGAUUUUCUAUAAGAAUUUUGCUCAUGUUACAUGCCUUGCUUUCUCUAGUAAGUAGAACAAGAACACAUUUAACUUUUCUUUUCUGUUCAUAGUCCUACAAACUUGUGGGUAGUGUUGAAGAUAAUCGCUUAAUCAACCUCUAAUCGUUUUCAGGAACGAAGAUCUGAAUCACCCUCCCGCCUCGAGAGAAAUCAGUUUAGUCAUUCAGGUUCUGGUAUUUCUUUAUAGCUUUCUGAGUUUACUUUGGUCUUUCAUGUAUUUGCUUUCUGUUUGUGCCCCUAUCUAUUUCUGUUCUUGUGUGCAAGCGCUCCAUUCUGUGUGUGUCCGACUUUGUGUGGCUUGAUUCUCUUGUGUGUGUCACUGUGUGUUUGACUAUGUGUGAAUAUUGCAUUUGACUGUGAUGCGUUACUAUGUUUGACUCUGUGUGUGUGAUUGUGUGAAUAUUGUGCAUUUGACUGUGAUGUGUGACUGUGUGAGUAUUGUAUUUUGACAAUGACUGUGUGUGGCUUGACUGUGUGUGUGUGGCUUGUAUGCUUUGCUGAAUGAUUGGUUGUUGUGGCUUAACACUGCCUCUGCCGGUCCCAAGCCCGGAUGUGAAAAUGUGGAGGGAGUCUGUUUCUCGUGUGCAAGUGCUACAUUAUGUGUGUGACCAUGUGUGUGAUGUGUUCGUAUCUAUGUCUAAUUCUUUUGUCUUGAUUGUGUGCAAGUGAUUGAUUGGGUGUGUGCUUGCGUGACCAUGCGUGUAUUGCAUUUGCUUGACGGUGUGGUUUGUAUAACUUGUGUUUUAUAUGUGAGGAUUGAUUGUUGUUUGUUGAAUUUGAACAGAUCUAACACUAUUCUUUUUUCUAAACUUUUUUGUGAUUAUGUCUUAUGUGGAUACCAUACUCUUUUUUGUAUUAUUGUUGUCCAGUCACUGGAAUAACGCUUUUCUAAGUAUUUAAGGUACAACCAUGUAGAUCUAGACAUGAUGCUGAUGGGUUGGCUUUGCAUACAAUGCAGGUAUAUUCACGUUCUUUACAUUUUAUAACAGUCCCAAAACUUUUAUUUAGUCAAAUUUUGCUACUUCUGGUUUUAGAUGCGCUGUAUCCAUAACUACCUAUUGGCACCUGAUAUUUGUGCUCAAAAUGCAGUAUGGACCAACAAAAUGGUCUCAUUGCAAGGUGGACAUAUAGGCAAGAAAUGUCAAGAGAGGUACUCUUUUGAUUGUUUUAUUUUUAUGGUUUAUGGAUUAUAUUUUGCAUUUCCCCCUUUGUGCAAGACAAACAGGGAAUGUUUACUAAUUUAGAAACACGCUGGUUAUGUGAAGAGCUGAUUGCUAAAUAUGAAGCUGAUUUUGAAUUCAUACAUACAGAGAGAAGCUUGGACUAUUGAGGAGGAAUCUGCACUGAUUAAUGCCCAUCGGGUAUAUGGGAAUAGAUGGGCAGAAAUAGCAGAAGUUCUUCCUAGAAGGUACCGUCAAACAACUUGCAUCUUGUUGGGAUAAUGUAGCCUAGCCUUGGCCCUCUUUGUUACCAGAUUCCUAGCCCCUGCCACUUCCUCAUUCUUUCCUGCACAUCAUAACGUGUACCACACAUUUGAACAUUGCAGGAAUCGGAUACUUCUAUUUGUUCUUAGGUUCUUCUCACCUAUAGCUAAAGUCAAAGACGACAAAACCAAGUGGAUUAUUGUUGAUACAAGAUACACAAAAUCAUCGGUAAGUUUCUAUCCUUUCAAAUGGCCAGAUUAUGAAUUUUGAUCAGCUUGUUUGACUUGUUUUAAACUGAAUCCUUGAUUCCUUGAUAACUUUGAUCAUGAACUGAUUCCCAAGUAUUUUUUGACUCAUAUGAUGCUUAUUACAUCACAGGUCAUCUAAAUCUUUUUUUCUAAUAUGACUGUUGGUGCUGCUCAUGAGGUAAGCUACUUUUCUUGCUUUCAAGAAUAAAUCAUUUACAUUGUGGUCACUCACAUUUUAAGUUGCUCAUGCCAUUUCAGGCUAGCCACCGGCUUGGAAGGGAUGAGAGGCAAUCACUGUUGUCAACUUGAAACGUAUAAUUUUUUAGGUAUGAAUGGCUUACCUUAGCCAGAUUUUCUAUAAGAAUUUUGCUCAUGUUACAUGCCUUGCUUUCUCUAGUAAGUAGAACAAGAACACAUUUAACUUUUCUUUUCUGUUCAUAGUCCUACAAACUUGUGGGUAGUGUUGAAGAUAAUCGCUUAAUCAACCUCUAAUCGUUUUCAGGAACGAAGAUCUGAAUCACCCUCCCGCCUCGAGAGAAAUCAGUUUAGUCAUUCAGGUUCUGGUAUUUCUUUAUAGCUUUCUGAGUUUACUUUGGUCUUUCAUGUAUUUGCUUUCUGUUUGUGCCCCUAUCUAUUUCUGUUCUUGUGUGCAAGCGCUCCAUUCUGUGUGUGUCCGACUUUGUGUGGCUUGAUUCUCUUGUGUGUGUCACUGUGUGUUUGACUAUGUGUGAAUAUUGCAUUUGACUGUGAUGCGUUACUAUGUUUGACUCUGUGUGUGUGAUUGUGUGAAUAUUGUGCAUUUGACUGUGAUGUGUGACUGUGUGAGUAUUGUAUUUUGACAAUGACUGUGUGUGGCUUGACUGUGUGUGUGUGGCUUGUAUGCUUUGCUGAAUGAUUGGUUGUUGUGGCUUAACACUGCCUCUGCCGGUCCCAAGCCCGGAUGUGAAAAUGUGGAGGGAGUCUGUUUCUCGUGUGCAAGUGCUACAUUAUGUGUGUGACCAUGUGUGUGAUGUGUUCGUAUCUAUGUCUAAUUCUUUUGUCUUGAUUGUGUGCAAGUGAUUGAUUGGGUGUGUGCUUGCGUGACCAUGCGUGUAUUGCAUUUGCUUGACGGUGUGGUUUGUAUAACUUGUGUUUUAUAUGUGAGGAUUGAUUGUUGUUUGUUGAAUUUGAACAGAUCUAACACUAUUCUUUUUUCUAAACUUUUUUGUGAUUAUGUCUUAUGUGGAUACCAUACUCUUUUUUGUAUUAUUGUUGUCCAGUCACUGGAAUAACGCUUUUCUAAGUAUUUAAGGUACAACCAUGUAGAUCUAGACAUGAUGCUGAUGGGUUGGCUUUGCAUACAAUGCAGGUAUAUUCACGUUCUUUACAUUUUAUAACAGUCCCAAAACUUUUAUUUAGUCAAAUUUUGCUACUUCUGGUUUUAGAUGCGCUGUAUCCAUAACUACCUAUUGGCACCUGAUAUUUGUGCUCAAAAUGCAGUAUGGACCAACAAAAUGGUCUCAUUGCAAGGUGGACAUAUAGGCAAGAAAUGUCAAGAGAGGUACUCUUUUGAUUGUUUUAUUUUUAUGGUUUAUGGAUUAUAUUUUGCAUUUCCCCCUUUGUGCAAGACAAACAGGGAAUGUUUACUAAUUUAGAAACACACUGGUUAUGUGAAGAGCUGAUUGCUAAAUAUGAAGCUGAUUUUGAAUUCAUACAUACAGAGAGAAGCUUGGACUAUUGAGGAGGAAUCUGCACUGAUUAAUGCCCAUCGGGUAUAUGGGAAUAGAUGGGCAGAAAUAGCAGAAGUUCUUCCUAGAAGGUACCGUCAAACAACUUGCAUCUUGUUGGGAUAAUGUAGCCUAGCCUUGGCCCUCUUUGUUACCAGAUUCCUAGCCCCUGCCACUUCCUCAUUCUUUCCUGCACAUCAUAACGUGUACCACACAUUUGAACAUUGCAGGAAUCGGAUACUUCUAUUUGUUCUUAGGUUCUUCUCACCUAUAGCUAAAGUCAAAGACGACAAAACCAAGUGGAUUAUUGUUGUUACAAGAUACACAAAAUCAUCGGUAAGUUUCUAUCCUUUCAAAUGGCCAGAUUAUGAAUUUUGAUCAGCUUGUUUGACUUGUUUUAAACUGAAUCCUUGAUUCCUUGAUAACUUUGAUCAUGAACUGAUUCCCAAGUAUUUUUUGACUCAUAUGAUGCUUAUUACAUCACAGGUCAUCUAAAUCUUUUUUUCUAAUAUGACUGUUGGUGCUGCUCAUGAGGUAAGCUACUUUUCUUGCUUUCAAGAAUAAAUCAUUUACAUUGUGGUCACUCACAUUUUAAGUUGCUCAUGCCAUUUCAGGCUAGCCACCGGCUUGGAAGGGAUGAGAGGCAAUCACUGUUGUCAACUUGAAACGUAUAAUUUUUUAGGUAUGAAUGGCUUACCUUAGCCAGAUUUUCUAUAAGAAUUUUGCUCAUGUUACAUGCCUUGCUUUCUCUAGUAAGUAGAACAAGAACACAUUUAACUUUUCUUUUCUGUUCAUAGUCCUACAAACUUGUGGGUAGUGUUGAAGAUAAUCGCUUAAUCAACCUCUAAUCGUUUUCAGGAACGAAGAUCUGAAUCACCCUCCCGCCUCGAGAGAAAUCAGUUUAGUCAUUCAGGUUCUGGUAUUUCUUUAUAGCUUUCUGAGUUUACUUUGGUCUUUCAUGUAUUUGCUUUCUGUUUGUGCCCCUAUCUAUUUCUGUUCUUGUGUGCAAGCGCUCCAUUCUGUGUGUGUCCGACUUUGUGUGGCUUGAUUCUCUUGUGUGUGUGGCUUGACUGUCUGUGUGUGUCACUGUGUGUUUGACUAUGUGUGAAUAUUGCAUUUGACUGUGAUGCGUUACUAUGUUUGACUCUGUGUGUGUGAUUGUGUGAAUAUUGUGCAUUUGACUGUGAUGUGUGACUGUGUGAGUAUUGUAUUUUGACAAUGACUGUGUGUGGCUUGACUGUGUGUGUGUGGCUUGUAUGCUUUGCUGAAUGAUUGGUUGUUGUGGCUUAACACUGCCUCUGCCGGUCCCAAGCCCGGAUGUGAAAAUGUGGAGGGAGUCUGUUUCUCGUGUGCAAGUGCUACAUUAUGUGUGUGACCAUGUGUGUGAUGUGUUCGUAUCUAUGUCUAAUUCUUUUGUCUUGAUUGUGUGCAAGUGAUUGAUUGGGUGUGUGCUUGCGUGACCAUGCGUGUAUUGCAUUUGCUUGACGGUGUGGUUUGUAUAACUUGUGUUUUAUAUGUGAGGAUUGAUUGUUGUUUGUUGAAUUUGAACAGAUCUAACACUAUUCUUUUUUCUAAACUUUUUUGUGAUUAUGUCUUAUGUGGAUACCAUACUCUUUUUUGUAUUAUUGUUGUCCAGUCACUGGAAUAACGCUUUUCUAAGUAUUUAAGGUACAACCAUGUAGAUCUAGACAUGAUGCUGAUGGGUUGGCUUUGCAUACAAUGCAGGUAUAUUCACGUUCUUUACAUUUUAUAACAGUCCCAAAACUUUUAUUUAGUCAAAUUUUGCUACUUCUGGUUUUAGAUGCGCUGUAUCCAUAACUACCUAUUGGCACCUGAUAUUUGUGCUCAAAAUGCAGUAUGGACCAACAAAAUGGUCUCAUUGCAAGGUGGACAUAUAGGCAAGAAAUGUCAAGAGAGGUACUCUUUUGAUUGUUUUAUUUUUAUGGUUUAUGGAUUAUAUUUUGCAUUUCCCCCUUUGUGCAAGACAAACAGGGAAUGUUUACUAAUUUAGAAACACACUGGUUAUGUGAAGAGCUGAUUGCUAAAUAUGAAGCUGAUUUUGAAUUCAUACAUACAGAGAGAAGCUUGGACUAUUGAGGAGGAAUCUGCACUGAUUAAUGCCCAUCGGGUAUAUGGGAAUAGAUGGGCAGAAAUAGCAGAAGUUCUUCCUAGAAGGUACCGUCAAACAACUUGCAUCUUAUUGGGAUAAUGUAGCCUAGCCUUGGCCCUCUUUGUUACAAGAUUCCUAGCCCCUGCUACUUCCUCAUUCUUUCCUGCACAUCAUAACGUGUACCACACAUUUGAACAUUGCAGGAAUCGGGUACUUCUAUUUGUUCUUAGGUUCUUCUCACCUAUAGCUAAAGUCAAAGACGACAAAACCAAGUGGAUUAUUGUUGUUACAAGAUACACAAAAUCAUCGGUAAGUUUCUAUCCUUUCAAAUGGCCAGAUUAUGAAUUUUGAUCAGUUUGUUUGACUUGUUUUAAACUGAAUCCUUGAUUCCUUGAUAACUUUGAUCAUGAACUGAUUCCCAAGUAUUUUUUGACUCAUAUGAUGCUUAUUACAUCACAGGUCAUCUAAAUCUUUUUUUCUAAUAUGACUGUUGGUGCUGCUCAUGAGGUAAGCUACUUUUCUUGCUUUCAAGAAUAAAUCAUUUACAUUGUGGUCACUCACAUUUUAAGUUGCUCAUGCCAUUUCAGGCUAGCAGCCACCGGCUUGGAAGCGAUGAGAGGCAAUCACUGUUGUCAACUUGAAAUGUAUAAUUUUUUAGGUAUGAAUGGCUUACCUUUGCCAGAUUUUCUAUAAGAAUUUUGCUCAUGGUACAUGCCUUGCUUUCUCUAGUAAGUAGAACAAGAACACAUUUAACUUUUCUUUUCUGUUCAUAGUCCUACAAACUUGUGGGUAGUGUUGAAGAUAAUCGCUUAAUCAACCUCUAAUCGUUUUCAGGAAUGAAGAUCUGAAUCACCCUCCCGCCUCGAGAGAAAUCAGUUUAGUCAUUCAGGUUCUGGUAUUUCUUUAUAUCUUUCCGAGUUUACUUCGGUCUUUCAUGUAUUUGUUUUCUGUUUGUGCCCCUAUCUAUUUCUGUUUCUUGUGUGCAAGCACUCCAUUCUUUGUGUCCGACUAUGUGUGGCUUGACUCUUGUGUGUGUGGCUUGACUGUCUGUGUGUGUCACUGUGUGUUUGACUGUGUGUGAAUAUUGCAUUUGACCGUGAUGCGUUACUGUGUGUUUGACUGUGUGUGUGUGAUUGUGUGAGUAUUGUGCAUUUGACUGUGAUGUGUGACUGUGUGAGUAUUGUAUUUUGACAAUGACUGUGUGUGGCUUGACUGUGUGUGUGUGGCUUGUAUGCUUUGCUGAAUGAUUGGUUGUUGUGGCCUAACACUGCCUCUGCCGGUCCCAAGCCCGGAUGUAAAAAUGUGGAGGGAGUCUGGUUCUUGUGUGCAAGUGCUACAUUGUGUGUGUGACUGUGUGUGUGAUGUGUCCGUAUCUAUGUCUGUUUCUUUUGUCUUGAUUGUGUGCAAGUGUUUGAUUGAGUGUGUGCUUGUGUGACCAUGCGUGUAUUGCAUUUGCUUGACGGUGUGGUUUGUAUAACUUGUGUUUUAUAUGUCAGGAUUGAUUGUUGUUUGUUGAAUUUGAACAGAUCUAACACUAUUCUUUUUUCUAAACUUUUUUGUGAUUAUGUCUUACGUGGAUACCAUACUCUUUUUUGUAUUAUUGUUGUCCAGUCACUGGAAUAACGCUUUUCUAAGUAUUUAAGGAACAGCCAUGUAGAUCUAGACAUAAUGCUGAUGGGUUGGGUUUGCAUAGAAUGCAUGCAUAUUUACGUUCUUUACAUUUUGCGACAGUCCCAAAACUUUUAUUUAACCAAAUUUUGCUACUUCUGUUUUUAGAUGCGCUGUAUCCAUAACUACCGAUUGGCACCUGAUAUUUGUGCUCAAAAUGUAGUAUGAACCAACAAAAUGGUCUCAUUGUAAUGCCAAGAGAUGUACUCUUUUGAUUGUUUUAUUUUUAUGGUUUAUCGAUUAUAUUUUGCAUUUCCCCCUUUGUGCAAGACAAACAGGGAAUGUUUACUAAUUUAGAAACACACUGGUUAUGUGAAGAGCUGAUUGGUAAAUAUGAAGCUGAUUUUGAAUUCAUACAUACAUAGAGAAGCUUGGACUAUUGAGGAGGAACAUGCACUGAUUAAUGCCCAUCGGGUAUAUGGGAAUAGAUGGGCAGAAAUAGCAAAAGUUCUUCCUAGAAGGUACCGUCAAACAACUUGCAUCUUAUUGGGAUAAUGUAGCCUAGCCUUGGCCCUCUUUGUUACCAGAUUCCUAGCCCCUGCCACUUCCUCAUUCUUUCCUGCACAUCAUAACGUGUACCACACAUUUGAACAUUGCAGAAAUCGGGUACUUCUAUUUGUUCUUAGGUUCUUCUCACCUAUAGCUAAAGUCAAAGACGACAAAACCAAGUGGAUUAUUGGAGUUACAAGAUACACAAAAUCAUCGGUAAGUUUCUAUCCUUUCAAAUGGCCGGAUUAUGAAUUUUGAUCAGUUUGCCUGACUUGUUUUAAACUGAAUCCUUGAUUCCUUGAUAACUUUGAUCGUAAACUGAUUCCCAAAUAUUUUUGACUCAUAUGAUGCUUAUUACAUCACAGGUCAUCUAAAUCUUCUUUUCUAAUAUGACUGUUGGUGCUGCUCAUGAGGUAAGCUACUGUUCUUGCUUUCAAGAAUAAAUCAUUUACAUUGUGGUCAGUCACAUUUUAAGUUGCUCAUGCCAUUUCAGGCUAGCCACCGGCUUGGAAGGGAUGAGAGGCAAUCACUGUUGUCAACUUGAAACGUAUAAUUUUUUAGGUAUGAAUGGCUUACCUUAGCCAGAUUUUCUAUAAGAAUUUUGCUCAUGUUACAUGCAUUGCUUUCUCUAGUAAGUAGAACAAGAACACAUUUAACUUUUAUUUUCUGUUCAUAGUCCUACAAACUUGUGGGUAGUGUUGAAGAUAAUCGCUUAAUCAACCUCUAAUCGUUUUCAGGAAUGAAGAUCUGAAUCACCCUCCCGCCUCGAGAGAAAUCAGUUUAGUCAUUCAGGUUCUGGUAUUUCUUUAUAUCUUUCCGAAUUUACUUCGGUCUUUCAUGUAUUUGUUUUCUGUUUGUGCCCCUAUCUAUUUCUGUUUCUUGUGUGCAAGCGCUCCAUUCUUUGUGUCCGACUAUGUGUGGCUUGACUCGUGUGUGUGGCUUGACUGUCUGUGUGUGUCACUGUGUGUUUGACUGCGUGUGAAUAUUGCAUUUGACUGUGAUGCGUUACUGUGUGUUUGACUCUGUGUGUGUGAUUGUGUGAAUAUUGUGCAUUUGACUGUGAUGUGUGACUGUGUGAGUAUUGUAUUUUGACAAUGAUUGUGUGUGGCUUGACUUUGUGUGUGUGGCUUGUAUGCUUUGCUGAAUGAUUGGUUGUUGUGGCUUAACACUGCCUCUGCUGGUCCCAAGCCCGGAUGUGAAAAUGUGGAGGGAGUCUGUUUCUUGUGUGCAAGUGCUACAUUGUGUGUGUGACUGUGUGUGUGUGAUGUGUCCGUAUCUAUGUCUGUUUCUUUUGUCUUGAUUGUGCGCAAGUGUUUGAUUAGGUGUGUGCUUGUGUGACCAUGCGUGUAUUGCAUUUGCUUGACGGUGUGGUUUGUAUAACUUGUGUUUUAUAUGUCAGGAUUGAUUGUUGUUUGUUGAAUUUGAACAGAUCUAACACUAUUCUUUUUUCUAAACUUUUUUGUGAUAUUGUCUUAUGUGGAUACCAUACUCUUUUUUGUAUUAUUGUUGUCCAACCACUGGAAUAACGCUUUUCUAAGUAUUUAAGGUACAUCCAUUUAGAUCUAGACAUGAUGCUGAUGGGUUGGGUUUGCAUACAAUGCAGGUAUAUUUACGUUCUUUACAUUUUGCGACAGUCCAAAACUUUUAUUUAGCCAAAUUUUGCUACUUCUGUUUUUAGAUGCGCUGUAUCCAUAACUACCUAUUGGCACCUGAUAUUUGUGCUCAAAAUGCAGUAUGGACCAACAAAAUGGUCUCAUUGCAAGGUGGACACACUGGUUAUGUGAAGAGCUGAUUGGUAAAUAUGAAGCUUAUUUUGAAUUCAUACAUACAGAGAGAAGCUUGGACUAUUGAGGAGGAACAUGCACUGAUUAAUGCCCAUCGGGUAUAUGGGAAUAGAUGGGCAGAAAUAGCAAAAGUUCUUCCUAGAAGGUACCGUCAAACAACUUGCAUCUUAUUGGGAUAAUGUAGCCUAGCCUUGGCCCUCUUUGUUACCAGAUUCCUAGCCCCUGCCACUUCCUCAUUCUUUCCUGCACAUCAUAACGUGUACCACACAUUUGAACAUUGCAGGAAUCGGGUACUUCUAUUUGUUCUUAGGUUCUUCUCACCUAUAGCUAAAGUCAAAGACGACAAAACCAAGUGGAUUAUUGGAGUUACAAGAUACACAAAAUCAUCGGUAAGUUUCUAUCCUUUCAAAUGGCCGGAUUAUGAAUUUUGAUCAGUUUGUCUGACUUGUUUUGAACUGAAUCCUUGAUUCCUUGAUAACUUUGAUCAUAAACUGAUUCUCAAGUAUUUUUGACUCAUAUGAUGCUUAUUACAUCACAGGUCAUCUAAAUCUUCUUUUCUAAUAUGACUGUUGGUGCUGCUCAUGAGGUAAGAUACUGUUCUUGCUUUCAAGAAUAAAUCAUUUACAUUGUGGUCACUCACAUUUUAAGUUGCUCAUGCCAUUUCAGGCUAGCCACCGGCUUGGAAGCGAUGAGAGGCAAUCACUGUUGUCAACUUGAAACGUAUAAUUUUUUAGGUAUGAAUGGCUUACCUUAGCCAGAUUUUCUAUAAGAAUUUUGUUCAUGUUACAUGCCUUGCUUUCUCUAGUAAGUAGAACAAGAACACAUUUAACUUUUAUUUUCUGUUCAUAGUCCUACAAUCUUGUGGGUAGUGUUGAAGAUAAUCGCUUGAUCAACCUAAUCGAGCUCUAAUCGUUUUCAGGAACGAAGAUCUGAAUCACCCUCCCGCCUCGAGAGAAAUCAGUUUGGUCAUUCAUGUUCUGGUAUUUCUUUGUAGCUUUCUGAGUUUACUUCGGUCUUUCAUGUAUUUGCUUUCUGUUUGUGCCCCUAUAUAUUUCUGUUUCUUGUGUGCAAGCGCUCCAUUCUGUGUGUGUCCGACUUUGUGUGGCUUGACUCUCUUGUGUGUGUGGCUUGACUAUCUGUGUGUGUCAUUGUGUGUUUGACUGUGUGUGAAUAUUGCAUUUGACAGUGAUGCGUUACUGUGUGUUUGACUGUGUGUGUGUGAUUGUGUGAAUAUUGUGCAUUUGACUGUGAUGUGUGACUGUGUGAGUAUUGUAUUUUGACAAUGAUUGUGUGUGGCUUGACUGUGUCUGUGUGGCUUGUAUGCUUUGCUGAAUGAUUCGUUGUUGUGGCUUAACACUGCCUCUGCCGGUCCCAAGCCCGGAUGUGAAAAUGUGGAGGGAGUCUGUUUUUGGUGUGCAAGUGCUACGUUGUGUGUGUGAUGUGUCCGUAUCUAUGUCUGUUUCUUUUGUCUUGAUUGUGUGCAAGUGCUUGAUUAAGCCGAUGAGCCAUACAAUGAAGCUAUGGGAGAGAGUCAUUGAGCACCGCUUAAGAAGAAUGACAAGCGUGACCAAAAAUCAGUUUGGUUUCAUGCCUGGGAGGUCGACCAUGGAAGCCAUUUUCUUGGUACGACAACUUAUGGAGAGAUAUAGGGAGCAUAAGAAGGACUUGCAUAUGGUGUUCAUUGACUUGGAGAAGGCCUAUGAUAAGAUACCGCGGAAUGUCAUGUGGUGGGCCUUGGAGAAACACAAAGUCCCAGCAAAGUACAUUACCCUCAUCAAGGACAUGUACAAUAAUGUUGUGACAAGUGUUCGAACAAGUGAUGUCGACACCGAUGACUUCCCGAUUAAGAUAGGACUGCAUCAGGGGUCAGCUUUGAGCCCUUAUCUUUUUGCAUUGGUGAUGGAUGAGGUCACAAGGGGUAUACAAGGAGAUAUCCCAUGGUGUAUGCUCUUUGCGGAUGAUGUGGUGCUAGUUGACGAUAGUCGGACGGGGGUAAAUAGGAAGUUAGAGUUAUGGAGACAAACCUUGGAAUCGAAAGGGGCUUAGUAGAACUAAAACCGAGUACAUGAUGUGCGGUUUCAGUACUACUAGCUGUGAGGAGGAGGAGGUUAGCCUUGAUGGCCAGGUGGUACCUCGGAAGGACACCUUUUGGUAUUUGGGGUCAAUGUUGCAGGAGGAUGGGGGUAUUGAUGAAGAUGUGAACCAUCGAAUCAAAGCCGGAUGGAUGAAGUGGCGCCAAGCUUCUGGCAUUCUCUGUGACAAGAGAGUGCCACAAAAGCUAAAAGGCAAGUUCUACAGGACGGCGGUUCGACCCGCAAUGUUGUAUGGCGCGGAGUGUUGGCCGACUAAAAGGCGACAUGUUCAACAGUUAGGUGUGGCGGAGAUGCGUAUGUUGAGAUGGAUGUGUGGCCACACGAGGAAGGAUCGAGUCCGGAAUGAUGAUAUACGAGAUAGAGUUGGGGUAGCACCAAUUGAGGAGAAGCUUGUCCAACAUUGUUUGAGGUGGUUUGGGCAUAUUCAGCGCAGGCCUACAGAAGCUUCAGUGCAUAGCGGACGGCUAAAGCGUGCGGAGAAUGUCAAGAGAGGGCGGGGUCGACCGAUUUUGACAUGGGAGGAGUCCGUUAAGAGAGACCUGAAGGAUUGGAGUAUCGACAAAGAGCUAGCUAUGGACAGGGGUGCGUGGAAGCUUGCUAUCCAUGUGCCAGAGCCAUGAGUUGGUUGCGAGAUCUUAUGGGUUUCACCUCUAGCCUACCCCAACUUGUUUGGGACUAAAGGCUUUGUUGUUGUUGUUGUUGUUGUUGUGUGCAAGUGCUUGAUUGGGUGUGUGCUUGUGUGACCAUGCGUGUAUUGCAUUUGCUUGACGGUGUGGUUUGUAUAACUUGUGUUUUAUAUGUCAUGAUUGAUUGUUGUUUGUUGAAUUUGAACAGAUCUAACACUAUUCUUUUUUCUAAACUUUUUUAUGAUUAUGUCUUGUGUGGAUACCAUACUCUUUUUUGUAUUAUUGUUGUCCAGUCACUGGAAUAACGCUUUUCUAAGUAUUUAAGGUACAGUCAUGUAGAUCUAGACAUGAUGCUGAUGGGUUGGGUUUGCAUACAAUGCAUGUAUAUUUAUGUUCUUUAAAUUUUGCGACAGUCCCAAAACUUUUAUUUAGCCAAAUUUUGCUACUUCUGUUUUUAGAUGCGUUGUAUCCAUAACUACCUAUUGGCACCUGAUAUUUGUGCUCAAAAUGCAGUAUGGACCAACAAAAUGGUCUCAUUGCAAGGUGGACAUAUAGGCAAGAAAUGUCAAGAGAGGUACUCUUUUGAUUGUUUUAUUUUUAUGGUUUAUGGAUUUUAUUUUGCAUUUCCCCCUUUGUGCAAGACAAACAGGGAAUGUUUACUAAUUUAGAAACACACUGGUUAUGUGAAGAGCUGAUUGGUAAAUAUGAAGCUGAUUUUGAAUUCAUACAUACAGAGAGAAGCUUGGACUAUUGAGUAGGAACAUGCAGUGAUUAAUGCCCAUCGGGUAUAUGGGAAUAGAUGGGCAGAAAUAGCAAAAGUUCUUCCUAGAAGGUACCAUCAAACAACUUGCAUCUUAUUGGGAUAAUGUAGCCUAGCCUUGGCCCUCAUUGUUACCAGAUUCCUAGCCCCUGCCACUUGCUCAUUCUUUCCUGCACAUCAUAACGUGUACCACACAUUUGAACAUUGCACGAAUCGGGUACUUCUAUUUGUUCUUAGCUUCUUGUCACCUAUAGCUAAAAUCAAAGACGACAAAACCAAGUGGAUUAUUGGAGUUACAAGAUACACAAAAUCAUCGGUAAGUUUCUAUCCUUUCAAACGGCCGGAUUAUGAAUUUUGAUCAGUUUGUCUGACUUGUUUUAAACUGAAUCCUUGAUUCCUUGAUAACUUUGAUCAUAAACUGAUUCCCAAGUAUUUUUGACUCAUAUGAUGCUUAUUACAUGACAGGUCAUCUAAAUCUUCUUUUCUAUUAUCACUAUUGUGCUGCUCAUGAGGUAAGCUACUUUUCUUGCUUUCACGAAUAAAUCAUUUACAUUAUGGUCACUCACAUUUAAAGUUGCUCAUGCCAUUUCAGGCUAGCCACCGGCUUGGAAGCGAUGAGAGGCAAUCACUCUUGUCAACUUGAAACGUAUAAUUUUUUAGGUAUGAAUGGCUUACAUUAGCCAGAUUUUCUAUAAGAAUUUUGCUCAUGUUACAUGCCUUGCUUUCUCUAGUAAGUAGAACAAGAACACAUUUAACUUUUCUUUUCUGUUCAUAGUCCUACAAACUUGUGGGUAGUGUUGAAGAUAAUCGCUUAAUCAACCUCUAAUCGUUUUCAGGAACGAAGAUCUGAAUCACCCUCCCGCCUCGAGAGAAAUCAGUUUAGUCAUUCAGGUUCUGGUAUUUCUUUAUAGCUUUCUGAGUUUACUUNNNNNNNNNNNNNNNNNNNNNNNNNNNNNNNNNNNNNNNNNNNNNNNNNNNNNNNNNNNNNNNNNNNNNNNUUCUUGUGUGCAAGCGCUCCAUUCUGUGUGUGUCCGACUUUGUGUGGCUUGACUCUCUUGUGUGUGUGGCUUGACUAUCUGUGUGUGUCAUUGUGUGUUUGACUGUGUGUGAAUAUUGCAUUUGACAGUGAUGCGUUACUGUGUGUUUGACUGUGUGUGUGUGAUUGUGUGAAUAUUGUGCAUUUGACUGUGAUGUGUGACUGUGUGAGUAUUGUAUUUUGACAAUGAUUGUGUGUGGCUUGACUGUGUCUGUGUGGCUUGUAUGCUUUGCUGAAUGAUUCGUUGUUGUGGCUUAACACUGCCUCUGCCGGUCCCAAGCCCGGAUGUGAAAAUGUGGAGGGAGUCUGUUUUUGGUGUGCAAGUGCUACGUUGUGUGUGUGAUGUGUCCGUAUCUAUGUCUGUUUCUUUUGUCUUGAUUGUGUGCAAGUGCUUGAUUAAGCCGAUGAGCCAUACAAUGAAGCUAUGGGAGAGAGUCAUUGAGCACCGCUUAAGAAGAAUGACAAGCGUGACCAAAAAUCAGUUUGGUUUCAUGCCUGGGAGGUCGACCAUGGAAGCCAUUUUCUUGGUACGACAACUUAUGGAGAGAUAUAGGGAGCAUAAGAAGGACUUGCAUAUGGUGUUCAUUGACUUGGAGAAGGCCUAUGAUAAGAUACCGCGGAAUGUCAUGUGGUGGGCCUUGGAGAAACACAAAGUCCCAGCAAAGUACAUUACCCUCAUCAAGGACAUGUACAAUAAUGUUGUGACAAGUGUUCGAACAAGUGAUGUCGACACCGAUGACUUCCCGAUUAAGAUAGGACUGCAUCAGGGGUCAGCUUUGAGCCCUUAUCUUUUUGCAUUGGUGAUGGAUGAGGUCACAAGGGGUAUACAAGGAGAUAUCCCAUGGUGUAUGCUCUUUGCGGAUGAUGUGGUGCUAGUUGACGAUAGUCGGACGGGGGUAAAUAGGAAGUUAGAGUUAUGGAGACAAACCUUGGAAUCGAAAGGGGCUUAGUAGAACUAAAACCGAGUACAUGAUGUGCGGUUUCAGUACUACUAGCUGUGAGGAGGAGGAGGUUAGCCUUGAUGGCCAGGUGGUACCUCGGAAGGACACCUUUUGGUAUUUGGGGUCAAUGUUGCAGGAGGAUGGGGGUAUUGAUGAAGAUGUGAACCAUCGAAUCAAAGCCGGAUGGAUGAAGUGGCGCCAAGCUUCUGGCAUUCUCUGUGACAAGAGAGUGCCACAAAAGCUAAAAGGCAAGUUCUACAGGACGGCGGUUCGACCCGCAAUGUUGUAUGGCGCGGAGUGUUGGCCGACUAAAAGGCGACAUGUUCAACAGUUAGGUGUGGCGGAGAUGCGUAUGUUGAGAUGGAUGUGUGGCCACACGAGGAAGGAUCGAGUCCGGAAUGAUGAUAUACGAGAUAGAGUUGGGGUAGCACCAAUUGAGGAGAAGCUUGUCCAACAUUGUUUGAGGUGGUUUGGGCAUAUUCAGCGCAGGCCUACAGAAGCUUCAGUGCAUAGCGGACGGCUAAAGCGUGCGGAGAAUGUCAAGAGAGGGCGGGGUCGACCGAUUUUGACAUGGGAGGAGUCCGUUAAGAGAGACCUGAAGGAUUGGAGUAUCGACAAAGAGCUAGCUAUGGACAGGGGUGCGUGGAAGCUUGCUAUCCAUGUGCCAGAGCCAUGAGUUGGUUGCGAGAUCUUAUGGGUUUCACCUCUAGCCUACCCCAACUUGUUUGGGACUAAAGGCUUUGUUGUUGUUGUUGUUGUUGUGUGCAAGUGCUUGAUUGGGUGUGUGCUUGUGUGACCAUGCGUGUAUUGCAUUUGCUUGACGGUGUGGUUUGUAUAACUUGUGUUUUAUAUGUCAUGAUUGAUUGUUGUUUGUUGAAUUUGAACAGAUCUAACACUAUUCUUUUUUCUAAACUUUUUUAUGAUUAUGUCUUGUGUGGAUACCAUACUCUUUUUUGUAUUAUUGUUGUCCAGUCACUGGAAUAACGCUUUUCUAAGUAUUUAAGGUACAGUCAUGUAGAUCUAGACAUGAUGCUGAUGGGUUGGGUUUGCAUACAAUGCAUGUAUAUUUAUGUUCUUUAAAUUUUGCGACAGUCCCAAAACUUUUAUUUAGCCAAAUUUUGCUACUUCUGUUUUUAGAUGCGUUGUAUCCAUAACUACCUAUUGGCACCUAAUAUUUGUGCUCAAAAUGCAGUAUGGACCAACAAAAUGGUCUCAUUGCAAGGUGGACAUAUAGGCAAGAAAUGUCAAGAGAGGUACUCUUUUGAUUGUUUUAUUUUUAUGGUUUAUGGAUUUUAUUUUGCAUUUCCCCCUUUGUGCAAGACAAACAGGGAAUGUUUACUAAUUUAGAAACACACUGGUUAUGUGAAGAGCUGAUUGGUAAAUAUGAAGCUGAUUUUGAAUUCAUACAUACAGAGAGAAGCUUGGACUAUUGAGUAGGAACAUGCACUGAUUAAUGCCCAUCGGGUAUAUGGGAAUAGAUGGGCAGAAAUAGCAAAAGUUCUUCCUAGAAGGUACCGUCAAACAACUUGCAUCUUAUUGGGAUAAUGUAGCCUAGCCUUGGCCCUCAUUGUUACCAGAUUCCUAGCCCCUGCCACUUGCUCAUUCUUUCCUGCACAUCAUAACGUGUACCACACAUUUGAACAUUGCACGAAUCGGGUACUUCUAUUUGUUCUUAGCUUCUUGUCACCUAUAGCUAAAAUCAAAGACGUCAAAACCAAGUGGAUUAUUGGAGUUACAAGAUACACAAAAUCAUCGGUAAGUUUCUAUCCUUUCAAACGGCCGGAUUAUGAAUUUUGAUCAGUUUGUCUGACUUGUUUUAAACUGAAUCCUUGAUUCCUUGAUAACUUUGAUCAUAAACUGAUUCCCAAGUAUUUUUGACUCAUAUGAUGCUUAUUACAUGACAGGUCAUCUAAAUCUUCUUUUCUAUUAUCACUAUUGUGCUGCUCAUGAGGUAAGCUACUUUUCUUGCUUUCACGAAUAAAUCAUUUACAUUAUGGUCACUCACAUUUAAAGUUGCUCAUGCCAUUUCAGGCUAGCCACCGGCUUGGAAGCGAUGAGAGGCAAUCACUCUUGUCAACUUGAAACGUAUAAUUUUUUAGGUAUGAAUGGCUUACAUUAGCCAGAUUUUCUAUAAGAAUUUUGCUCAUGUUACAUGCCUUGCUUUCUCUAGUAAGUAGAACAAGAACACAUUUAACUUUUCUUUUCUGUUCAUAGUCCUACAAACUUGUGGGUAGUGUUGAAGAUAAUCGCUUAAUCAACCUCUAAUCGUUUUCAGGAACGAAGAUCUGAAUCACCCUCCCGCCUCGAGAGAAAUCAGUUUAGUCAUUCAGGUUCUGGUAUUUCUUUAUAGCUUUCUGAGUUUACUUCGGUCUUUCAUGUAUUUGCUUUAUGUUUGUCCCCCUUUCUAUUUCUGUUUCUUGUGUGCAAGCGCUCCGUUCUGUGUGUGUCCGACUUUGUGUGGCUUGACUCUCGUGUGUGUGGCUUGACUGUCUGUGUCUGUCACUGUGUGUUUGACUGCGUGUGAAUAUUGCAUUUGACUGUGAUGCAUUACUGUGUGUUUGACUGUGUGUGUGUGAUUGUGUGAAUAUUGUGCAUUUGACUGUGAUGUGUGACUGUGUGAGUAUUGUAUUUUGACAAUGAUUGUGUGUGGCUUGACUGUGUGUGUGUGGCUUGUAUGCUUUGCUGAAUGAUUGGUUGUUGUGGCUUAACACUGCCUCUGCCGGUCCCAAGCCCGGAUGUGAAAAUGUGGAGGGAGUCUGUUUCUUGUGUGCAAGUGCUACAUUGUGUGUGUGACUGUGUGUGUUAUGUGUCCGUAUCUAUGUCUGUUUCUUUUGUCUUGAUUGUGUGCAAGUGCUUGAUUGGGUGUGUGCUUGUGUGACCAUGUGUGUAUUGCAUUUGCUUGAUGGUGUGGUUUGUAUAAUUUAUGUUUUAUAUGUCAGGAUUGAUUGUUGUUUGUUGAAUUUGAACAGAUCUAACACUAUUCUUUUUUCUAAACUUUUUUGUGAUUAUGUCUUAUGUGGAUACCAUACUCUUUUUCGAUUUAUUGUUGUCCAGUCACUGGAAUAACGCUUUUCUAAGUAUUUAAGGUGCAACCAUGUAGAUCUAGACAUGAUGCUGAUGGGUUGGGUUUGCAUACAAUGCAGGUAUAUUUACGUUCUUUACAUUUUGUGACAGUCCCAAAACUUUUAUUUAGCCAAAUUUUGCUACUUCUGUUUUUAGAUGCGUUGUAUCCAUAACUACGUAUUGGCACCUGAUAUUUGUGCUCAAAAUACAGUAUGGACCAACAAAAUGGUCUCAUUGCAAGGUGGACAUAUGGGCAAGAAAUGUCAAGAGAGGUACUCUUUUGAUUGUUUUAUUUUUAUGGUUUAUGGAUUAUAUUUUGCAUUUCCCCCUUGGUGCAAGACAAACAGGGAAUGUUUACUAAUUUAGAAACACAGUGGUUAUGUGAAGAGUUGAUUGGUAAAUAUGAAGCUGAUUUUGAAUUCAUACAUGCAGAGAGAAGCUUGGACUAUUGAGGAGGAACAUGCACUGAUUAAUGCCCAUCGGGUAUAUGAGAAUAGAUGGGCAGAAAUAGCAAAAGUUCUUCCUAGAAGGUACCGUCAAACAACUUGCAUCUUAUUGGGAUAAUGUAGCCUAGCCUUGGCCCUCUUUGUUACCAGAUUCCUGGCCCCUGCCACUUCCUCAUUCUUUCCUGCACAUCAUAACGUGUACCACACAUGUGAACAUUGCAGGAAUCGGGUACUUCUAUUUGUUCUUAGGUUUUUCUCACCUAUAGCUAAAGUCAAAGACGGCAACACCAAGUGGAUUAUUGGAGUUACAAGAUACACAAAAUCAUCGGUAAGUUUCUAUCCUUCAAAUGGCCGGAUUAUGAAUUUUGAUCAGUUUGUUUGACUUGUUUUAAACUGAAUCCUUGAUUCCUUGAUAACUUUGAUCAUGAACUGAUUCCCAAGUAUUUUUGACUCAUAUGAUGCUUAUUACAUCACAGGUCAUCUAAAUCUUCUUUCUAAUAUGACUGUUGGUGCUGCUCAUGAGGUAAGCUACUUUUCUUGCUUUCAAGAAUAAAUCAUUUACAUUGUGGUCACUCACAUUUUAAGUUGCUCAUGCCAUUUCAGGCUAGCCACCGGCUUGGAAGCGAUGAGAGGCAAUCACUGUUGUCAACUUGAAACGUGUAAUUUUUUAGGUAUGAAUGGCCUACCUUAGCCAGAUUUUCUAUAAGAAUUUUGCUCAUGUUACAUGCCUUGCUUUCUCUAGUAAGUAGAACAAGAACACAUUUAACUUUUCUUUUCUGUUCAUAGUCCUACAAACUUGUGGGUAGUGUUGAAGAUAAUCGCUUAAUCAACCUAAUCAACCUCUAAUCGUUUUCAGGAACGAAGAUCUGAAUCACCCUCCCGCCUCGAGAGAAAUUAGUUUAGUCAUUCAGGUUCUGGUAUUUCUUUAUAGCUUUCUGAGUUUACUUCGGUCUUUCAUGUAUUUGCUUUCUGUUUGUGCCCCUAUCUAUUUAUGUUUCUGUGUGUGACUGUGUGUGUGAUGUGUCCGUAUCUAUGUCUGUUUCUUUUGUCUUGAUUGUGUGCAAGUGCUUGAUUGUGUGUGUGCUUGUGUGACCUUGUGUGUAUUGCAUUUGCUUGAUGGUGUGGCCUGUAUGCUUUGCUGAAUGAUUGGUGUUGUAUAACUUGUGUUUUUGUAUUGUUGUGGUUUAACACUGCCUUUGCCUGUCCCAAGCCCGGAUGCAAAAAUGUGGAGGGAGCCGCAGUUACCUCCUUUGUAUUGUUUGCCAUAGAAUGUGGAUAGAAAUUACUCUGUCCUAAUUGAAUAGUGAAUCUUCACAUAAUGUCGAAGCAUGUGAUUCAGGCUAUGAGAUGCAUCCUUCCUUGCUAUGAAAAAUCUAGCAAGUCUAAUUGUUGUUAGAAUUUGUCCCGUCCCGUCUCCUAAGUUAAUCUCGCUGGUUUCUUAAAUCUUGUUAGCACCGAUGUUCUUCUCUGCUAAAAUAUACACUUAAAAACCAGUCAUCUGUUUUUUAUUCUGCUUUAGGUUGAAUUUUUGUUUGGACUCCGACCCAUGUAGGGUGUCCUUUUCAGUUGUGUCAUUUUCUAGAGGGGGUGAGCUUCUAAGAGUGUGUGUGUGUGAGGGAGGGGGGAGGAGCUGACUUCGGCGCACGACCAGUAAGGCACUCUGUAGGCUCGUGCGUAGCUGACUUCAGCAUACGACCAGUAAGGCACUGUGUAGGCCUGUGCAUCCCCUCUUCCCCUUUUUGAUUCAAUUCAUUUUAGAUGAAGAGCGGCCACCUCAUUCUGGUCCGAGAGCCAAAAUCCGAUUCUCCUCGGUGUUCGAGUGCAGCUAUGCGGGGUGAUGGGGGAGAAAUUGGUAGCCAUCCAGCCGAACCUAGCGACGAUAGCAAAAUUGGUAGCGUUGAAUAUAAUCUGUUUGUCUUCGUGUCUUCGUAUGUCCACCCCGCCUCCACUCGAGAAUAGCAUAUGAAUUAUUUGUUUUGAAUUUCACAUGAGAUAACUUUGGUCAAUGAUGUAAAAAUGAGUUAUUGCUCUUUGCUCAUCGGUUCAGCUGACAGCUGACGGGGGCUGUGCUAGCAUGUGUUUUAUUGGGUCGAAAGUGGUGGUGUUUUUUCUGUCAUUUCUGUUAGUUCAGUGUGUCGUGUACGUGCUCUUCAUUAGCAUCCCAUUGUUAGAUUGUGGAUACAAAUGAAGCCUCCUCAGCUGUUUCGAUUCUGGGUCGUCGGAUCGUCUCCCCGAGCGCGUCCUAGCCGUUGGAUCUCCGGGUGGACCGAUACUGGCCGUUGGAUCAUGAGAUGGAGAGGUCCGGGCCGUCGGAUCAAUAGCAAACACUGCUACAAUGAAUAGUGUCCACCCUUGUGUGCCACCGCCUGUAAAUCUCAUGCUCCACCGAGGGCAUUAUUGUCUUUUCACAGGCUGGCGUAUAAAAGGCCGCAUGCCCAUGUGUAACCCUAGCCUCCCCUUCCCCUCCUCCCGUCCUCGCCUCCGCCCCGUCGCCCCCGUCUCCCCCUCGCGCUCACGCCCCUCUCCUUCGUUCCUCCGACGCCGUGUUCCCCUCCUCCCCUCCUCGUCGUUGUUCUCCUGCCACUCGUCGCCGCUGCUCUCCCCGCCGAGCUCGCCGCACUCGCGUUGUCCGGACAUGGACACAUCCGGGCGGAUCCGGUCGCUAGGCGGCAUGGGGCUGUGGAUCCGACGAGCUCACUGCGGCGGCCGGCAGUUUCCUGAGAGAGAGAGAUAGAGAGGAAAGUGAGAGAGAGUGCUAGGGGAGGAGAAGAAAAGAGUGGAGGGAGAGAUGCGGCAGGGCAGCGGUCAGUCCGUCGGCGCUGCACACGGAGGAGACGCGGCAAGGAGGAGCACGAGCCACCGCAGCCACUGGAGCAGUGGGUCGUCGCGCCAUCGACGGGAGGAAGCCGUGCGGAGUGCGCUGUCGCCACCGGCUGCGCUAGGCGACGCCGACAGGCACCAGUGGAUCGAUCCGGUGCCAAAAACCGUCCCAGGCCCGCUGCAUCUCCGGCUCUGGCGAGGCACUCCUGUAGAGGCCAUUCUCUUCCUCACCACGUGUCGCUGGGAGGAUCCAGAAGAGGGGGAGCGGCAACAAAUCGCGACGGUAAGCCAUGCCCAUGCCCUCUUCCCCCUCACUUUUAUUUUCAUCUCUGAGCUCGAUCUGCUGAUGCAUUUCCUCCUCCCUAAUCGCCUCUUGGGACCUGGCAGGAGGAGCAUGGGCUGCAAAUUCGGAUGAAGAGGGGAAAGGAGAUUAACAGUUCUGUCACAAAGAUAACACCAUAGACCAAGCAAGAGGUUUUAUGUGCUGCUUGCUGCAUGUAUGUGUUGGGUAUUUUCAGAGCAUUGAAAUUAAAUAAACACUUUCAGUCCAUCAUUUUGUGUUGGUAAGCUCGUCAGCUUCUGUUUAUUUGCUACCCUUGGGCAUGUUAUUCCUACAGUCAUUAAUUUCCGCAUUCUAAUAUUCCUGUUAAGUGUCAUGUUUGAGCCACAAACUGCUUUGGUGUUUAUUCAUGGUUUGGAGAGAUGACCAAUCUGAUAUUUUUGUUUGUAACAGGAAGUAAGACUAAUUUGUAGGGGUGUACUCAAGUUACAUUAGCGAUUUAUUUUCUUCGAGAUUUGGUGGCCUUUUGUGAUGUUAAAUGUAUCCAUUUGUCAUUCCGUUGAUUUCUUAAUUCUACAAUAACAACAAACGCCAGCUAAAUUGUGGUCUAUAGAGAAAGGAACGACGUACACCUAGGUUAUAUGAGAAACCAUAUGGGCUAAAGAGCCUCGAUAGGCUAGCCGUGCAUCAUUUAUUCUUUGGUGUCUUCUAGAGAAAAAGAAGGAAUGGCUUCAGGCCAAAGCCUUCGAUAAAAUGACAAUCACUUACUUUUCUAGGAUAUAUAUAGAUUUCUUGAAUUACCUGCAGCAUACUUCUUUUUCAUCUAACAUGUGUCUACCGGGCAAUUUAAACAGAUACUAAUGAUAUAAUUAGGCACAUAUAUGAUUAUGUUUGACUUCACCUAUAAUAGAAUGCAUUUCUCUCACCUUAUUUCUGCAGGACCUUGUUGCUUGCAUUCUCGUGUCUUUUGGCAAGGAGAAAAUUGUCAUUUGGAGGGGAAAAGACAGCUGAAAACAUGCAAGAUAGUAUAUGCAAAAGACACACCCUUCAGUUAUUGAAUCAGAGUUCAGCGGUGAAGAACACUACAAUUUUUUGGUUGAUGGAUUGGUCUCAAUAGAUUGUAAGGGAUUUCCAUGAAGUGGUUAUUCAAAGAAUGGAACCAAUGUUAUGGUGAGUCUCUCUUGUAGGAAUCUACUAAAAUUUGGCUUGAAGAAUGUUACAAGACGUAUUUCUCUCCCCUUGUGUAUGACUUUGUUCCUUACAUUCUUGUAUGUUUUGACAAAGAACAAACAUUAUUUGUAGUGAAAAAGACUAUUUAAAGCAUACACGGUAGUAGCCUGAAAUAUUAUUUGUUGCCUUAGUUAUAUUGAUCUAUAUGACGAAUUUCAUCCUAAUAUGUAUGCGUACAUUUCUUUUGUUAUAGAUUUUGAUUGCUCGGCAAAGUGCAAAGCAACGAAAAGCAUCACGUAUAGCUAUUUUGGAAUGCAAGAUUAGGAUGUGCUCCUCUUUGCUUCUCAUUUCCGCACUCUAAUUUUGACUUGCUAAUAUAUAGGCUUUCUAAAAUGGACGUGCAUAGAUCUGAGAAAGAAGAGAACAGGAAUCUAGCGGACGGAGGUGAUUUUUCUCUCUUGUGAACAACCUAUCAAGUUCCUUUUUUCAACAGUUUGAACGACAGUGAUAAAUUCCCUUGUAAAACACUUGGUUUGAACUAUAAUACAUUUUGGUGCAGGUCAUGUAGUAUUCACCAAUAGAUGAUAGAACCACAUAUUUUGGAAAUUCCUUGACAAAAAACACAAGAGCAUCAUUGUUUGGUCAAUUGCAGGUCAAUGUUGGCACUGGCCAGGUAAUCAUUGUUCUUGUCAAUGUACGAACCAAACUACGUUGCUCUACUUUUUGGUGCCCUGCAAAUGAGGUCUUCAUUGUAUUAUCUUUGUCCAAUGCCAGUAACCCUGUUACUCUCUGGCUGCAUGUUUGGGUGCGUAGGGUCCCCAUUGUGUGAAAAACUUUUUAAAAUUCUGAUUUAGUCGGGGUACAAAUUGUUAAUAGUCAGCCUUUUUAUAUGAAAAGGAAAACAACCUUUUUUAUGUGUUACUGCCGUUUAUUUUGGAUAUAUUAGCCUUUCUUACACAUUAGCGUUUAUUUUAAAUAAUCAACUUAUACUGGACGACUGGUGCAGUUUCCAAACAGUAUAUGGACCUUAAUUCCUAUUUUUUUUGGCCCCAGGUAGAUGUUACAACCCACUUGCUAGAUAUGCACAUUCCUUUUUUUCUAUCAUGCUCAUAUUUUUUUAGACCAGAACUCCCAAAGAUCUUUACUGUGUACUACAAAUAUGUUUAUGUUUUUACAUUGAUAAACAUGCUUUUGGUCGCACUGGACAAGAACAGUUCUAGGAUUUGGUGCUUAUAGUUUGUUGUCAACUACUUCUACUGAUAACUCAUAUAUUUAUAGAUUGUGUGCAUUAUGGCAGACCCUCAUUGGAUAACUAUGUGUUCUUCUUUGUAAAUUGGACGUGAUUGGUCAGUAAGAUGCACAACGAUUUUUGGAACUGAUAUCUUUACUUCAAGCGGAUCGGUUUUUCCUUACAAAACUGUGCUGUUAUUUUCACCUGAAUUUAUUUAAAGGAGUCGUAUAAAUUCCAAAUUUCUGAAAUAAGAUGAUCUGGCUUGUAUUUAAAAACAUGUUGCAGGUUUCUUUAUCGUGAGAAGAUUUGCUUUUCUUUGACUCUGUAAAAGAAUUUUCAUAGGACUUUUGGGAAAUAUGAAAGCCCAAAUAUUGCUUUGCCAGCAUAUACCAUCUGAUCUAAUAUUUCUCACCCCCUUCUACUUCAGAUCAAGCAGGCAGUGGCGACACUGGACGAGGCGUCCUUGCACUGCAAGGCUGCCCUCGACAUAUGUGAAAAGCUUGGCGAGUUAAUUCUUUUCCUCGAAUCAAACGGAAAUCUGAAAACUAUCAAAGAGAUACCAAAUGAUGAAUAUUUCAUAUGUCGACAGGCAUGGUAAGACGUGUUUUGGUAGGUCAGUUCUGAGCAUGCUUAUUUUUAAACCUGAAACAGUCUUUAUAUUAGCGGGUUCUCUAAAUUGAUUGUUUUGAAUUUCACUAAUCUCUUUCAAUUAUGAGCAUGAUUCAGUGUCCUGCAUUUUAGAAAUCUCAAGCUUGAAUUGCUCUGUUUUCGGAUUAAAACCUUCUUGAGUUGUGCAAUCACAAAUAUUUACACACAGAGAAAGAAACUUGGAUAUUCUUAAUCACACAAAAGGUGUUUUCUUACAUGUAGGUGCCUUCUUUUAAUCUAUGCAGAGCCAGGUUACACGUAGUUAGGUUAUUUAGUUAAUACAAUCUUAAAUAUAAGUUAUUCGUGUUCUUUUGAUUUUGUUUGAUUAUGAUAAGAAAAAGAAGAAAUGCUUGUAUGAUGGCAUUAUGGUCCAGAGUAGUGAUUUUCUUUUCACAGCUCAAACUCUACCUCUUUGAUCUAUCUCAUAUCGCUGAAAUUGUGUUCUUUUUGUUUUGUUUAUCCCAGGUUGACUAUGAUGUGCUCAUCGUUGACUCCACCACCGUUGGUUUUGAGGAUGGUACCUCAAGAAUAAACAGACCUGUGAGCACGCCGUCCUUGCAUUCACUCUUGGAGUGAAGAAGAGUAUCUGCUGUUUAAUAAGGUAUGCUUGCUAUUAAACUUUGAAACGCUGAUUCUCUUGGGUGACCAUAAGAUUUCUGUACUAUUUUGCUAUCCACUUGAUCAGAGGGGUUUUGAAUAAUGUAGUACAUUGACAUUACCCAUGUUCAUUAGUACAACAACCCUUUCUAUAAUUUGAUGGAGCCAUUGAAAUUCUGGAGGUGAACAUGUUUUAUAUUAGAUUGAGUGUGAUAGAACCAAAUGUAUGUUCUAUCAUGUUGAUCUAUAGUUUUGUUGCAUAUUGUUGGUGUCAAACUCUUUCUCCGAUUUCACAUGAUCUAAUUAGUGUUCUAUACAGAACAACCCUUUUGGGUUAUGACUAAUCUCUCAAUUAUUUGGUCUGGUCCCUCCACUAAUAUGUCAUUACUUCACAAUUGAAGUUUUCAGUGUGAAACAAUAUUGUAUCUCCUGCCACUAAAGAGAUCUCAUAAGGAACAUGUAAAUGAUACUUGGAAAAAAUGAAGGCAACAUUUUUUAUACAUUAUUUUGUGGCGCAUUUUGACAGAGUUACUCUACAAUAAGAUGCCAUCAGUGCAAACCAAGUAUGUAAUUGUUGUAUUCUUGAUCGGCCAACAUGGUUUCUCUUCUGUGUUUAUCACAAAUAUAUGCAACCUGAAGCUACUAUACUAUGCAUAUGCCACUUACCAUUUUGUUCUCUAUAAUUCUAUAUGCAUUUAGUUGAAAAUGGUUAUGCCGCUUACUUCAGAAGAUAUUUUCUACUGAUUUAGCUGUGGUGUACUUUAUAAUAUGGUAGCUUAUAAAACAUACCAAGUUUUUUCUCUGUUUGAAUUUAGUUGAUCCGCUGCUACUGAAGAGAUCUAAAUUUUUUUGCAGAGCCUUCUGAUCUUCGUACUAUAAAGACUGGAUGUGAUGGCCAUUGUGCUUACUAUCAAAACUGUUACUUGAUGAGAACAUUCUAAGCUAAUUCAAGAUAUGUGCUUCCCCCUUGAUGAAUUAUUAUACAUACAUCAGCAGGAAAAACGUGUUUAAUCUACCAUGAACGUAAAUGGAUGAUAGCAGGAUGUUAAAACUUCAUAUAUGUUGUUGCUCAUCGGAUAUAACUAUAACAUGAUGGUCUCAGUCUAUUUUUCAGAGUUCGAAACCUAUAUUAGUCAUCAUGAGAGUGAGAUUUGUAAAUUCCACCUUGAAUCAGUUAACACUUUCCCUUUGCUGUACAAUUUUUUUGUUCUUAUGAUGGUACCAUGCUUGCUAAUUAUAAGAUGUACAAAUAAACUAUUCCUUUGUUUGUCUAGAAAUAGUUUUUCUACUUUCUAUGCAUUGAAGAGAUAGCAAAUCCCUUGCUACAUGUACUAGGGCGAUGCCCAGGUUCACCAAAGGGUCUUUUCAUGCAUGAAAAAGAGAGUAUAUAUCUUCUAGCUAUUAUCAGGUCGUAGGUGUACACAUGGUUAUUGAGUACCAUGACAUAAUCAUCCAUAGUUUUGUGAAAUUUGAAUUCCCAUCUCUUUAUCGUAUUAUUCAUUUUGCACUCGGCUUUCAUAGAAGAUAAAGGUUUGUUUUGUUUUGUUCAUAUGACCUGUUUUGGCUUUUGAGAUCAGUUGAAAGCUCUUGAUAUUUUGAAGUUUAUACUGCACUUCACAUUAAAAUAUCUGGGCAUAUGUUCCUUUAUUCAGCGAAGUGAACACCUAUACUCAGAUGCUUUUUCCACAGGCAUUCACCGUUUACUUGAUUACUGAUGGAAGGAUCUCCGUGCCAAUUGCUGUUGGGAACCAUUUGCCUCUACACCGAUGACCCUCAUGUUGUAUUAUACCAUGAGCUACCAUGACGUCCUCCACCGACCGCUAUUUGAACCUCAGCGCAUUCUUCUGUAAAAAUGACUCGCAUCAAGUCUUUUGCGCUUUCCUCUUGACUUUCUAAAUGCGGAUCAUAUUAUGUGUUAUUGCUUUCUUUAAGAUAUAUCACUGGCCAUGGAUUUCCUUUUAUCCGUCACCACCUUCAUACCUUUCUAUCCUGGAAUUUAUAUGGUGUACUGAGCUAUAUGGGAUUGGUGUUGAUUAGGUUGGCACGUGGCAUGCAACUAAACUUAAUUGUACCGGACCACUAUUGUUAUAUAAGUAUCUAUACCUCUUGGUUAAGGUCCCAUCAAAACUGAGGCAUUAUAGAUGCCUAAAUUUUUUUGGGUCGGUUCAUGGAUGGUGCUUUUGCUAUGUUCUAUUUUAUAUGCAAUACUCAAGUUUCUUUGUUACCAAGUUGGAUAUGGCCGCACCUGGCAGGGGUGCGGCAAGCCGCAUUUCCUACCAGGUUCGAUAUGACCGCACUUGGCAGGGGUGCGGUGGUGCGGCAAGCCGCACUUUCCAUCUAGUGAGGGAUAAUAUACCUUGUAUGCAGAUUUUUGGGACUCGGUUCGUUG
This 81147-nucleotide long non-coding RNA is filed under the name Triticum aestivum (bread wheat). RNAcentral describes it as "long non-coding RNA (TAES_LNC002095)". The record is from RNAcentral. Lineage: Eukaryota; Viridiplantae; Streptophyta; Magnoliopsida; Poales; Poaceae.